RNAcentral lists this long non-coding RNA (63783 nucleotides) under Malus domestica (apple). RNAcentral describes it as "long non-coding RNA (MDOM_LNC014679)". The stretch from base 50195 to 50265 matches the Rfam family "tRNA". The record is from RNAcentral. Lineage: Eukaryota; Viridiplantae; Streptophyta; Magnoliopsida; Rosales; Rosaceae.
AGAGUUGAGAUGGUUGUGCUGGCAUGGAUUCCCUUUCAAGUACAUGCCGGAGCACCUUCUUAAUCAGCCAAAACUUGUUGCUCUUGACCUACGGUUCAGCAAACUCAGAAAAGGCUGGAAGAAUUCCAAGGUACAAUCACCCCUAGCGUCUGAUUUUAUUUUUUAAGCUAUAUUCUUCUUGGAUUUUGAAUAAUAUUUUCUUUUGGGUUUGUGCAGCCGCUCGAAAAUUUGAAAAUCCUUGAUUUCAGUGAAUCCCCUCGGUUAAAAAAGUCACCAGACUUCUCAAGGCUCCCAAAUCUCAGAUAAUUGGAUUUUUUCCGCUGUUCUAGUUUGUCCAAGAUUCACCCAUCCAUCGGUCGACUUCAAAAGCUCACUUUGGUAAAUUUUGAAUUCUGCUAUAAGCUUAGGUAUCUUCCAGGGGAAUUCUGCAAGCUGAAAUCUGUUGAGACUCUUCGUCUGUCGCAUUGUGCAUUAAGAGAACUGCCUGAGGGCUUAAGGGAGAUGGUAUCAUUGAGACAACUUGACGCAACUGGUACAGCCAUUAAACAAUUCCCCAACGACCUUGGGAAUCUAAUUUCUUUACAAACGUUGAAUCUUAUAGACAAUAGUUGUCGUAGCCUACCUAGCCUCAGUGGUCUUUCAAAUCUCAAAUAUUUGGUGUUAACUAUGUGCAAGAAUCUUCGUGCAAUCCCCGGUUUACCAACAAAUUUGGUAUUCUUGAGAGCUGAUCUCUGCCCUGCAUUGGAAACAAUGCCAGACUUUUUGCAAAUGUCAAACAUGAUAGAACUGUGUCUAAAUAAUUCACCCAAAGUCAGACCAGGUUUAGGCUUGGGUAAAUCAUUAAACUCCAUGGCAGAGCUUUAUAUGCACGAGUGCACCAAUCUCACAGCUGAGUUUAGGAACAACAUCCUACAGGUCUUUCUCUUUCUCCAUCUUUGUCUCCUCCUACUCGUCUUUUCUAUCAAUCACACACACAAACACAACCACAUGUACAAGUAUUUGACACUAUAUAACAUUGUAUGUAUAUAGGGAUGGACUUCUUGCGGAGUUGGUGGUAUUUUUCUAAAUGGGAUUUAUGAUAUUCCGGAGUGGUUUAACUUUGUCGCUGACGGCAAUAAAGUCAGUUUUGAUGUUCCUCAAUGUGAUGGUCGUAAUUUUACAGGGUUGACACUCUGCUGGGUUUGCUCGCAAUACCAAUUUGGAAUUGUUACCUUUACUGUUGUAAAUUGUACCAAGCAUACUACUUCGAGGGUCUCUAGGCAUUUCGGGGGAUCAAAAGAGAAUUGUUUUUGGCAGGACAAUUAUCGAACGAUAAGCUGAAGCUCAAUUUGCAAGGCGGGGACAAGAUUGUUAUUCUUUUAGAGGGUUCUUAUUCUAAUAUAGCGAAGAAAACUGGGGUAAAUCUAGUAUGGGACAAACCUUUGAAGGAAAACAAGCAUAUUAUUGUUGGGGAUGAUGAUUACUAUGAAUAUGAAUCUGAAGCAGUUCCGGAUUGGUUGUAUGCUGAGUCAAGUCCAGGACCAAGCCAUGGCGCAUCUGAUAAUCAUCCCACUAAUCAAAUGACGACUACUACAGAUGAACCCAAACGGAAAAGGCAAAAGGUUUGAAGAGAGAGCAUUGCCAGAUCGGUUGAAUAGUUGCUAUUCCUGCAUUAUACUCUCCCACAGACCAUGUCAGCUGUCUUUCUCGUUUUCCCAGCUCCAUUAUUCGGGCAUUUGAUUUGAUCGUAUCCAACAGAUGAUAUGUUCCUCAUUUUACUGACAAUUCGUUUGCGAUAUUGACUGGUUGUUCAGUUGUUAAUUGUUUUAUGCUUUCCAAAUAUUCAUAUUCUCUAGUGGAACCAAAUUAUUAGCAUCAUACUGACAUACUUCGACUUUUUCGGUCUUAAAUCAAAAUUUUAGAUUGAAAUGUACAGUUACUGACCAUGGAUGCAAACAUAUAGCAAUCGGGACUAUAAUCUCACUUGGAACCCUUUCUAUCAACUCAUCUGCUUCGUUUAACAGUCUAGCACAGCCAAGAAGGUCGAUUAGGCAACCAUAGUGUUCUAAUCUUGCUCAAUCUCAUAUAUCUUUCCUUUGGAGUUGAGGAACUCACAACCCUCAUCUACCAACCCUCUGUGAAAACAGUCAGUUAAGACAACAAUGAAGGUGAAAUCAUCAGGCUUCAUGCCAAUCUGUACCAUUUUUGAGAACUCGAUUCCUUUGCUUGUCUUGCCAUUCCUUGCAAGCCCAUAAAUGAUUGAAGUCCAAAUAUUUGUCUAUGAUCCAACAUUUUGCAUACAUUUCUAUAACCACGGUACCAACAACAACUUCAUCAAUUUUUAAUUCUGUUAUAUUCGAUAUACCCGUGAAUCCAUUCCCCUUGCUCUAAUGCUCCCAACGGAGCACAGCCUGUGAGGAGAGCAAUCGCUGUAAAUUUAUCCCCUUUUAACUCUUUUAGUUUGCAUCUCUUGGAAUACCGCCUCGUUAAAACGAUUGUAUUGUAUACCUAUUAAAAAUUCUCUGGCCUUCAAUCAAAUAACCACGUUUUACAUACAUAUUCAACAACCACAUUUCCAGUUCUAGUAGUGAAUCCAAGUUUACUUCUAACAUAUUCAUGAAUUUCUUUACCAAGCUCCAAAGUUUUCGAUGCUGUGCAAGCUGAAAUGGUGGUUACAACCGUAGCUUCAUCAAGCUUCUCGUUGCUUUCACAUGACAUCCUCCGAAACAUAUCCAAAGCCUCCUCAAACCUCCUGCACCUAACAUACCUCGAAAUCGUAACGUUCCAACAAAGCCUGUUUCUCUCAGGUAUUUCAUCAAACACCUGCUUGAAACUCUCAACCAUGCCCAAUUACGCAUACAUGUCACUGAGCGAGUUACACACAUACCAUCAAACCCAAUUCCAGUUUUUACCACAAACACAUGAACCUUUUCACCUUCCCGAAGCUCUCUCAAGCAUCCAAUGGCUUUAAAACAAACGGGUAGGUAAAAUUAUAGGGGCACAAUCCCUCCUCCCUCAGCCGUCAGAAGAGCUCAACGGCGCUUCUGAAACUACUCCUUUGGGCAAACGCCUUGAUCAUUACAUCGUAAACAAACAAGCACGGAUCUUUGAUGAAACGGAAGACUUUCUCGGCUUAAUCAAAGUUUCCGAGAGAUGGGUUGGUGCAGAAAAUCAUGAGCUUGUUAACGGCGGCUCUGUCUUGGUUGCAGGAGGUUGAGAAGGAGAUUGGUUUUUUUUUUAUUGGUUUACAAGGAAGUUCAUUUGAACCUAAAGUUCAUACGCACAUCCUCUCCACUAGAAGGUUGAGAGCUGAUUUCGUGAACUUCUUAACGUAAAAUUCAUAUGCGUUGAAAUCAUAAAUGUAUUUUUCUUUCUAAUUAUAGAAAGUUUGGAAUGUCAAAUUAGAUUUUUGGAGUGUUAAUAGCAAUUACUUGUUUUUUUUAUACAUCGGUAUUUUUAUAGUAGGGGGAGGGAAGUUCGGUCAAGCUACACAAUGGAUAACUUAAUUUGGUAUCAAAUCCGUCAUCCACAAGAUUCAAAUCUAAGACCUCUCACUUCCAAAUAAAGAAUAAUACCACUAGAUUGUAGUACUGAGUUGAUUGAGUUUUAGUUAGGCUGUGAGAUCAAAUCUAUAUAGUUUUUAUAGAAAAGCAUACUCGAGUUAUUUGAGGAAAACCUGGAAAUGUUAAACAAAUUUACAAAUCUGUAUACUUUUUAUGGAAAAGCAUACUUGAGUUAUUUGAGGAAAAGUUAAACGAAUUUACAAAUUAUCUUUUCAUUGUUGUCCUAUUUUUUUAGGCUUCAAUUUCCCAUUAAAUAACUACGAGGCUUCAAUUUCCUUUUAAAUAAUUACGAGGGUGAAUUCAAUUGAGAUUUUGAGAUAUUUUAAUAGAUUUAUAAAUUUAUGGAUUUUGAUGGAGUUUAAUUGAUUUGUUGAGAUUCAAUGUAACAUUUUGAUUCAAUUUCUUCGAAAUCUCAAAGGUUGUGUUGAGAUUUGUGAAUGUUUAAAAUACACUACGAAAUCUCAAAGGUUUUUUUUUUUUAAUUAUUAUUAUUAUUAUUAUUUUUUAAUAUCGAUGUACAAAAAAAAAAAAAAAAUUAACUUUUACAUAUUCUAAAGAAUACGUGUGCUACAUAUUGACAGCAAAAGUGUGCCUUCUUCUAGGGUUAGAAUUGAGAGCAAUCUUUGUGAGGCUUUAGCAGUCUAAGGCCAUCUCUAACCGAGGGCUGGCCAGAAGGCUCGUUUUAGCCCUCUGGCCCUCUAAGAUUCCCCAAGAUAUUAAUAUUUUAAUGAACAAUACAUGGCCAUAUUUGCCUCCAUCUCCAACCGAGGGCCAAAGGGCCAGAGGGCUCGUUUUAGCCCUGUCACAAAAAAACCGUCUCCAACCAAGGGCCAAAAGGGCCAUAGGGCCAAACAUAAUUUUAAAAUGCGCCAACUUUGAGGAAGAAGGUUCUAUGCAUCCUUUACUUGUGAGGAAGAUCAUAUCAUUCAUGAGUGUGAAACAAAGGGCCAUAAACCCUAACAAUCAUAUCAUAUCAUUCAUGAGUGUGAAACAAAGUUCUACAUCCUUUACUUGUGAGGAAGAUCAUAUGCGUCAACCUUGUUCAUAAAAAAAGACAAAGGACAUCAUGCUACAAGAAUAAAAGUAUAAUGGAGAAUUUAGGAUUGGUUUGACAUUGCUGAAAUUAUUUUAAAAGUAGUUCUUUUAAAAAAAGCUAGAGCUAAAAUUGUGUUUGGUAAAUGAGCAAAAAAAAGUGUGUUUUGUCAAUAUCAUGGGUUCAAAACAGCAAAAAACAAAAGCAACUCUACCCCUACUUCUGAAAACGUUUUUUUUUUUUUUAUCAUAGCACAACAACCCAAACUAGCCCUUAAUUGUAGUAAGCGUCUGUCUUGUAUAAGUUAUUUUUCCUUCAUGGAUCAUGAUUACCGAGUUGUGUGAUCUGAGGUUUUUCUCUUUCAUUUGUUAAAGAGUUUUUCCGUCGUAAAAUUCUUUGUGUUCUCUGUUUUGAUUUCUUGUUAUUUCUGACGACACUUAAGUUUGAUCCAUCAAAGUUAUGUUUUCAGUUUGUGAAGAAAAUAGCGGGAAAAUAACCUGAAAAUUUGACCGUUGAGGUGGAUGUGCAUUUCGUUUUUUAGCUUUUGCAAUUGAAACUUAUCUGGUCCUGAAAGCAAAUGUUCGGCCUAAGUUGGGCUGAAAGAAUGGACAUUAUUGAGAUGCUCUACGUACGAAUACGUACUCAAUAUAACCACCAUAAAAUACCAUCUUCCUUACUCGUAGAAUGGCCUAUUUGAUCCACCAAGGGGAUACCAUUUGGGUCGUUGUUGACUAAUUGAAUUGUGUAUCACCACUUAAAAGGGAAGGACUCGCGUUCACUUUUAGAACAUCAUUAUGAUUUUCGAGUCAAUAUUGCAAUGUCGCGUAUAAAUCUUUUUACAUAUGAUAUCACAAUAUUAAUUUGAAAUAUUAGCACAGUAAAAAAAUUCGACAUGGGCAAGUCCUCUACUUCAAAAGUCCAUCACAUCAUCUGAUUUGACAAAUGCACAAUCAUAUGUGUCAUGUAUCCUAAAAUCUAUUAUGUCAAGUACACAAUUUGAUUGGUGCCCUAACUUUGAAACUUUUAACAAAUGAUUGAUGUCCAAAGACUUGUCUAUGCUCCCACAUUUUGCAUACAUUUCUAUAACCGCGGUACCAACAUCUGCAUCAGUUUUAAUUCUGCUAUAUUCGAUAUACCUGUGAAUCCAUUCCCCUUGCUCUAAUGCUCCCAACCGAGCACAGCCUGUGAAGAGCAACCGCUGUAAAUUUAUCCCCUUUAACAUUUUAGUUUGCAUCUCUUGGAAUAGAGCCUCCGCCUCGUUAAGACUAACUCCAACCCUUGAAGUAAGUCUCAAAAUUUUCCUUCUAUUCCUCCCAUUUUAUUCCAAGUCUUGUGCUAAUAUAAAAUUAAGAGUUAAAACUAAAAAAAAAAAGCGAAAUUUCGGCUAAUAUUUGAGUUUGGGUUAGUGGUGUAGCCCAUUUGUGUGAGUGGAAGUCUGGUUUUGAAAGCCAAACGCUUAAGUUUGACGCACGCACGAAAAGGAACGAGCCAUGCGUUGUAGAGGACCCACCCACACGGGCUUGUCGCCCACUUGCCUAUUUCAUUGGUGAGCCUAACGGCUCUUUUAUGUAAUCUAAUGGCAUAUAUUCAAAUGGGCUGUUGAUAUCCAUCCGUCCAUAUUUAAUUGAUUUAAUGUUAUUUAUUUUUUAAAUUUAUUGAAUUCAAAUGCCUAACGGCUCUCUGUUCUAGCUUGUUAGCUGUGAUAAACAAGUUUGCCAUUACCAAAUUCAACUACCCUGGCCUCCUGACUGCAUUGUAGUACCUUACAUCUGUUGAAUUGUGGCCAAGUGGCCAUCACCUUUCCUAAUAAACAAACCAAAAGAAAAAAAGUGAAAGACAUCAUGAUUAUGUUUGUUGAAAAGAAAAAAGGAAAGUCAUGAUGAUGUUUGUAAAGUAAUCAUUAUGUCUUUACUUUAGUUUUGUUUAUUAGUUGUUUUAGGAUGGAUGAAUAUUAGCAUACGGAAGUGAGAAAGAGAGAGGAAGAAGAGUGCACCAUUUUCUGUUUUAGUAGUCCAUCUUUGAGAGAGUAAAGAGAGUUGCAGAGAGCAGAAAACUGAGAGCAGAAAAGAAGAAGAAGGUGCUCUUUUUUUUGGUCAGCAAUCAUCCAUCAUAGUUGUUGUUGUAAUAGCUUUGAGCUAUAUGUAUAGAGAAGAAAUUAUUCAUUAUAUUUCUUCCUCUAUUUGUUUCUUUGGUGUGUGAGAGUUAUUGGGUGUAUUGGAUUAUUUGGGUUGUGAGAUUGCCAACACUUUGUAAACUCCCAUUUGGAUGAUAGUGGAUUAUUGGGUGAGCUCCUACUGCUCUGAGGACGUACUCCAGUUACACUGACUGUGGAGGAACCUUGUUAAAAUCUUGGUGUUAUUUUCUUUAAUAUUUUGUUCUUGCAUUUUCAUUUGAUAUAUUUUCUGUGGGUUAGCUUAAUUUGGUUCCGCGUGGUUUGGUGUUAUCCUAGCACAACAAUUGGUAUCAGAGCACUGGUUGCUCUUGGGUACUGUCUAGUUGCCAAAGAUGUCAGACGGGCAAGAAGAGAAUCAUUUUGGAAGCAGCUCCGGGUUUGCAAGAACUACGGUGCAAAAUGCAAAGUUCGAAGUGGAAAAGUUUGAUGGCACAAACAACUUCGGGAUGUGGCAAUGUGAGGUCAAGGAUGUGUUGGCUCAACAAGAUCUACUUGCCGCUUUGGGAGAGAAGCCGGAAGCUAUGUCGAAGCCGGAAUGGGAAAAAUUAAAUUUGUGGGCUUGCUCUUCAAUUCGGUUGUGCCUUGCAAAAACUCAGAAGUAUUUUGUGAUGCGGGAGACAUUAGCAAGUGUGUUGUGGCAAAAAUUGGAAGACAAGUAUAUGACAAAGAGUGCAGAGAACCGGCUACACUUGAAGAAAAAGCUCUACCGCUUCCAAUACAAAGAAGGUACAAAAAUGAUUAGACACCUUGAUGCUUUUAAUAAGUUGAUUGCUGACUUGUUAAAUUUAGAUGAGGAUAUUAAGGAUGAAGAUAAGGCCUUAAUAUUGUUGAAUUCAUUGCCGGACUCUUAUGAGCAUUUUGUUACCACUAUUAUGCAUGGUAAAGAAACUGUGAAAAUUUGAAGAUGUGUCAAAUGCCUUGAUGAAUUAUGAAAUGAGGCAUAGAGAUAAAAAUUAUGAUAGUACCUCUGAAGCUUUAUUUGUUAGAGGUAGAUCAUCGGAGAGAAGAUCAUCUUCUAGUAGGAAAAAAUCACAGUCUCGACCUAGAGGAAACUCUAAAGGUAGAAAACCUUUGGAAAUGGAUGAAUGUGCCUUUUGUCAUAAUAAGGGCCAUUGGAAGAAAGAUUGUCCUAAAUUGAAAACCAAAGGCAAAGAAAGUUCUGAAGCUAAUGUUGCUGAGGUUGAAACAGAUUUUUCUGAUUUUGCUUUAACCACUUCCUCAUCAUUUGAUUGUGCUACUAAGUGGGUGUUGGAUACGGGUUGUACUCAUCAUAUGACUCCUCACAAGAAUUGGUUUUCAAGCUUGAAAGAGUUUGAUGGUGGCGUUGUGUUCAUGGGAGAUGACAAUCCUUGCACAACAAAAGGGAUUGGUACAGUUCGUUUGAAGUUGCAUGAUGGCAUGGUUAAAGAGUUGACAGGUGUUCGGUAUGUACCGAAUUUGAAGAAAAAUCUUAUUUCUUUGGGUACUUUGGAAUCUAAGGGUUUCAGGUUUCAUUCAGAUGGACAGACAUUGAAAGUUACUUAUGGUGCACUUGUUGUGAUGAAAGCUCCUAGAUGUGGCCAUUUGUAUUUAUUGCAGGGAAGCACUGUGACAGGUGAAGCAUCUCUAGUCUCAGCAAAUAUGGGCACAUCUGAUUCAGAUACUACUAGACUGUGGCAUAUGAGAUUAGGCCAUGCCGGUAAGAAAGCUCUACAAGGGUUUGUGAAAAAAGAUCUUCUAAAAGGUGCCACGACUUGUAAACUUGAUUUUUGCGAGCAUGUGUCUUGGGGAAGCAAACUAGAGUGAAGUUUGGUACUGCUGUACAUCAGACGAAGGGCAUUCUUGAUUAUGUGCAUUCGGAUGUUUGGGGUCCUACAAAGACUCCCUCUUUGAGUGGUAGACAUUGGUUCGUGACCUUUGUUGAUGAUUAUUCAAGAAGGUCUUGGGUUUACACUAUGAAGCACAAGAGUGAGGUAUUGAGCAUUUUCUUGAGUUGGAAGAAAAUGGUUGAGAACCAGACUGGGAGAAAGAUUAAGAUUUUGAGAUCGGAUAAUGGUGGUGAAUACACAUCCGACCCUUUCUUUAAAGUUUGCAAAGAGGAAGGAAUUGUGAGACAUUUCAGUGUCAAGGGAACUCGACAACAAAAUGGAGUUGCAGAAAGAUUGAAUCGAACCUUGCUUGAAAAGGUUAGAUGUAUGUUGUCUCAGUUGGGUUUAAGCAAGUCAUUUUGGGCAGAGGCAGUUAAUUAUGCAUGUCACAUCAUCAACCGGUUACCCUCAUCUGCUGUUCAGGGUAAGACACCAAUGGAGGUAUGGACUGGAAAACCUUCUUCUGAUUAUGACUAUAUCCGUAUUUUUGGUUCACCUGCUUAUUUUCAUGUGACUGAAAAUAAACUUGAUCCUAGAGCCAAAAGGGCUAUCUUUCUUGGUUUUAGUAGUGGUGUCAAAGGUUACAGGUUGUGGUGCCCAGAGAUGAAUAAACUUGUAAUCAGUAGAGAUGUGACAUUUGAUGAAGAAAGUAUGUUCAAAGACUCUGAGAAGAAUGUGAAAGAUGUCUAACAGGUGGAGCUUGAGAAAGUUGCCUCUGGUACUUCAAAUCCUAUUUCCGCUGAUGUCGAAGCCACUACAAGUGAAGAAGUUGGAGACCAUGAAGAUGUUGAAGAAGUUGAACUUGAAGAUUCUAUUCAAGUUGAAGAGCAAGUUUCACCUCAAGAGUCUAUUGCAAAGAACAGAGGAAAGAGACAAAUUACCAAGCCAGCUCGGUAUAGUGACUAUGUUUCUUUUGCUCUUCCUAUUAUCACUGAUGAGAUUUCAUCCAAUUUUGAGGAAGCUAUUGAGAGUGAAGAAAAUGAGAGAUGGUGCAAUGCCAUGGGUGAUGAGAUGAAUUCUCUAUUGAAGAACAAGACUUGGGAGUUAGCUAAAUUGCCUAAGGGCAAGAAAGCUAUCGGUUGCAAAUGGGUGUAUGCCAAGAAGGAAGAUGCUGAUGAGAAAAGCAAUGUGAGAUUCAAAGCAAGAUUAGUUGCUAAAGGGUAUGCACAAAAGGAGGGCAUUGACUACAAUGAAAUCUUUUCUCCGGUUGUGAAGCACUCCUCAAUUCGCAUUAUGUUAGCUCUUGUUGCACAAUAUGAUCUUGAGCUUGUGCAACUUGAUGUGAAGACGGCUUUCCUACAUGGUGAUUUGAAUGAAGAGAUUUAUAUGUGUCAACCGGAUGGGUAUAUAGUGAAAGGGAAGGAGAAUUUGUUUUGCAAAUUGAAGAAAUCACUUUAUGGCUUGAAGCAAUCUCCAAGGCAAUGGUAUUUGAGGUUUGAUAAAUUUAUGAGAGGCCAAAAUUAUUUUAGAAGUCAAUAUGAUCAUUGUGUGUACUUCAAGAAGUUGCAAGAUGGGUCUUUCAUUUAUUUGUUGAUAUAUGUUGAUGAUAUGUUGAUUGCCUCAAAGAAUGUCGAAGAGAUUGAGAAAUUGAAGAAGCAAAUGAAGAAUGAGUUUGAGAUGAAGGAUCUUGGUGAAGCGAAGAAGAUCCUUGGCAUGGAGAUCACUAGAGAUAGAGCGAAGGGUUUGGUUAGUUUGAAUCAAAGACAAUACCUUGAGAAGUUGAUUCGGAAGUUUGGAGUUCAUGAUUCAACCAAACCGGUUAGUACCCCUUUGGCUCCUCAUUUUAAAUUGAGUUCUCUACAAUGUCCUAAAACUGAUAAAGAGAAGCUGCAAAUGAAAAAUAUACCAUAUGCAAAUUUGGUUGGUAGUUUGAUGUAUGCAAUGGUAUGCUCUAGACCGGAUAUUGCUCAUGCAGUUGGCAUGGUGAGUCGAUAUAUGCAUAAUCCAGGUAAAGAGCAUUGGCAAACAGCUAAGUGGAUAUUGAGGUAUCUCCAUGGUACUCGAGAUGUUGGUUUAUGUUUUGAGAGAUAUGACUCUGGUAUUGGUCAUUUUGCAGUUGGUUAUGUUGAUUCAGAUUAUGCAGGUGAUCUGGAUGGAAGGAAGUCUACUACAGGCUAUAUGUUUACUAUGGCUAAAGGGCCAGUUUGUUGGAGGUCCAUUUUGCAGUCGUCUGUUGCCUUGUCUACUAUAGAGGCUGAAUAUAUGGCAGUUGCUGAAGCUAUAAAGGAGGCCAUUUGGAUACAUGGGCUGAUUAGAGAUUUGGGGGUUGAUCAGAAGCAGGUGGAGGUACAUUGUGAUAGUCAGAGUGCCAUUUAUUUGGUUAAGUAUCAGGUUCAUCAUGCGAGGACCAAGCACAUAAAUGUGCGUUAUCACUUUGUUCGUGAAAUUGUUAGUGAAGGGGAAAUCAUUCUCCAGAAGAUUCCAACUAAAGACAACCCCGCUGAUAUGUUGACUAAGGUUGUUGGUGUAGCCAAGUUUGUUCAUUGCUUGAACUUGGUGUUAAAAAUUUAAUAAUUAAAUAUUAGUAUUAUUAAUAUUUAAAAUAUUAAAUAUUCAAGUGAAUGAAAAUCAAAGUGGAAAAGUGGUUUGACCGGUAAGUUCAAGGGUUGUGUAUGUUUGCUUUUAAUUUUAUUUUAUUAUGGAAAUGGUGAAAGUUUUGACAUGCAGCUUUUCCAAGAAGUCAUGUAUGUUUAGGAAAAGCAGAUGCAGUUUUGGAGCUUGACGCAAUUUCAAAUAAAAUUGCUUCCUUUGCCUUUUGAAAGCAGACACAACUUUUGAUAAGGGGACACGUCAAAGCCUAUAAAUAGACCACCAAGUCAAGUAUUUUAGACAUACUUUUGCAUUCAGAAAUCAUAUAAAAAUUAGAGUAGUUUAGUGUUCAACAAAGAGAGAGUUUUAAACACUUUUGGUUCGCUGUUCUUUGUGGAUUGGAGUGCUACUUCCGCAAAGAGAAAGAUCGUUGUAUCCUGGGAGACAUUUGCCAACGCAAACCUUGAGGCACCACUGAGGGGCAAUCUUGUCUUAAGGCUAUAGAAUCAAAUUCUAGCCUCGAUCUCUUAAGGUUCUUCUAUUCCUUGUUCUUCUUGCAUUUGUAGAGAUUUUAUUGUGUAUUAUUUAAUAAUUUAUAAUAAAAUAUAUAGCAAUUUUUCAUAACUUUUUUCAAACACUUGGCUCAUAUUUUGCCUAUAUAAAGAAGGCGUUAAGCAGUAGGAGUUUUUGGAGCAUUUGGCUUGGCAUGAAUUGUUCUCUUGCUAGUGUUUGGGAGUGAUUUUUUGGGUCAAUUGUGUUGGUUGGCUUAUCACGGCGUUUUCGGAACUUGGCCAAGGUGGAGAUUGUUGAAUUGUGGCCAAGUGGCCAUCAUCUUUCCUAAUGAAUUAUUCAUUAUAUUUCUUCCUCUAUUUGUUUCUUUGGUGUGUGAGAGCUAUUGGGUGUAUUGGGUUAUUUGGGUUGUGAGAUUGCCAACACUUUGUAAACUCCCAUUUGGAUGAUAGUGGAUUAUUGGGUGAGCUCCUACUGCUCCGAGGACGUACUCCAGUUACACUGACUGUGGAGGAACCUCGUUAAAAUCUUGGUGUUAUUUUCUUUAAUAUUUUGUUCUUGCAUUUUCAUUUGAUAUAUUUUAUGUGGGUUAGCUUAAUUUGGUUCCGCGUGGUUUGGUGCUAUCCUAGCACAACAACAUCUGCUUUGGGAGUUUGGGGUUUGGGAAAGUCGGGAUUUUUGCACCACCAUCCCUUCACAUGGCCGACGGCCAAGAAAUUUUUGCCCGCUUCACUUGUGUUUUACCUUGCUAUCUUUACCAACACCAAUCUUCUUCGUCAUGCGAAUGUGGAUAUGUUUAUAGUGUUUAGAUCCUGCACGCCUCUUUUGGUUGUGCUGGCGAAUACUGCGUUUAGGAAGCAGCUAAUCCCGUCUAUGCUUACCUUUGUAUCGUUGUUGAUCAUUUUGGGUGGAGCUGUUGUUUUAUGUGGGCACUGAUUCGGGUUUUAGUUUGACUGCGUAUUCGUGGGCGUUUUCCUAUUUGGUGACCUUUACAACUGAGAUGAUUUAUAUUAGGCAUAUGGUCACGAAUCUCGGGUUGAACGUUUGGGGUUUUGUGUUGUACAACAAUCUUUUGUCACUGAUGAUCGCUUCACUGUUUUGAAUUAUUACUGGAGAGUAUUCUGAUAUGUUUGCUGCUUCUGGAUCGAAGGCUGCGAAUUUCUUUGUCAAUUUGAUAAUUAUUUGUUUUUAAGUUUUCAUUUGUUUCUAGAGAUAGAAAAAAAGUAUAUAAAGAAAUGAGGAAUGGAAAAGCAUGAUGUGAUGUUCAUGGGAGGGAAGAGGGAGGAGUCAAGGAGAUUAUAUGAAGACAAAAACCUCGAAAAUGAAAUCAAAUUUAAAUUGUUUAUACUUUUUGGUUUGUGCGUUACUCCUCACACAUUUCUUCUACCAUUAUUAGCACAAAAAAUGAAAAAUUAACAAAAUGACUAUUAAAUGGGCUCAUAUCUGUGUGCAUUGGAAACAGUGUCUGACUUUUCGGAAAUGUCAAAUAUGAUAUAAUUUUAAGGAAAACUAAUGAAAAUGGUUUGAAAACUUUGAGUUUUAAUGAUAAGGACAAAAUAAAGGGUAAAGUAAAUAGUACCAGAAUUGACUUUUUAGUGUAAAAAUGUAGUUUUUCGUUAAAGUAAACAGUACCGGGUGCUUUUCGUUAAAGUUCUCAUAAUUUUAUCUAGCUGAUUCGGCCGAAGUCACAGAGGUUUGUGAAAGCGCAAGCUCUUAAGUCUAAGUUUUAGGUCGAAGAGAAGAAGACUUGGCUUGCACGGCAACAUCAUUGAGAUCAAAAGUAUAAAUCAGAUGUAUUCAUUUAGAAAAUCAUGUUUAUGUGACUGAGUUUUGUUUGGACUGUGAGAUCGAAUCUGUUUAUUUAUUUUUUUUUUAAUUUUUUAUAGAAGAGUAUAUUUAAGUUAUUUGAGGAAAAAACCAAAUUGACAAAUUUUCUUUUAUUGUUGUCCUAUUUCAUAGGUUUCAAUUUUUUUUUUAACAAAUAUUAUUUACACUAAGAGGAUGGGUAGGGAUGGCAAUUCUAACCGUUAAACCCGAUAACUGUGAAUAACCGCCCGAAUGGAACGGAUUUGGGUAUGGAAGUUUGGGUAUAUUAUUCGGUUAUGGUUUUGGAUAUGGUUAUAGAAGUCCCCAAACCGUAUCCAUAACUGAAUCUGACCCGAUUAGUAAAUAAUAUAAUUUAUAUAUAAUAUUAUAGUAUAGUAUAAUAUAUAUAUAUAUAUAUUUGUAUAUCUAUUAUUCACCGAAUCAUUACCUUAAGAAUACAAAAGUUGCAUUUUGUAGGAAAGUAAAGUUUUGAAUCAAAAUCAAAGCGAACUCAAUGGUGUUUAUGGGAGAUAUCAAAGAUAAGCCAACAUCAUUAGUGUUUUAAUUUUUAUACUCAACAUGAUCCAUUCAUUGGAUCAUUUUAUACGUCAAUAUAUAUAAAUAUAGAUAUAUUUGUGUAUCUAUUAUUCACCGAAUUAUUACCUCGAGAAUACAAAAGUUGCAUUUUGUAGGAAAGUAAAGUUUUGAAUCAAAAUCAAUGUGAACUCAAUGGUGCUUAUGGGAGAUAUCAAAGAUAAGCCAACAUCAUUAGUGUUUUAAACUUUAAUUUUUAUACUCAACAAGAUCCAUUUAUUAGAUCAUUUUAUACAUCAAAUGUUUAAUGACGAAAUUAAUAUCUACUAACUUAUAAUGUCUCAACUGAACGAAUAUAUUUUUUGUAUUGACGAAGAUGGAUAUACCUGUCAACCGAUGGGGAAUCCGUUACCCGGUGGGUAUGGUUAUGGAUAAUACCUGAUGGUUAAUUUACGGUUAUGGAUAUGGUUAAUUUUCAUGGUUAUGGGGAUAGAUAUAGCAUUUCGGUCCCCAAACCAAACCAUUGCCAUCCCUAAGGAUGGGGGAGUGGGCUAACUCUCACAAUGGACUAGCAAUAAUAUGGUUAAAAUUCGCAUUUGGCAAGAAUCGAACCUAAGACAUUUUAUUUAUAAGUGAAGAAAAGCACCACUAUGAUAAGAUUUUUAUUAUCUGCAAAAGUUGAGAUAAAAUAGGGAUUGGUUUAAAGAACUAAUGAUUGAACAAGAUAAAACAAAUAAAAGCAGUAACACAUGAAAAUAAACAAAUGGACAAAGUGCUAGAGCUCAACCUUCAUAAGCAACACUCCUAUUUAGUUCUUUUAGUUAUACAAAUAAUUGAAAACAUGCAAACUUUGAAGGUUAAAUUUUCCUUGUAUAAAUUUAACAUGUGACAUUCAAGCUAAAACACAUACAACAAUAUGCAGUUUAUCCAUGACAUUUAGAUUAAACGUGAAUAUGAGUCAUCCAUUAAACUAUGUGAAAACCUUUUCUGAUAAACCAUGCAAUCCCUAAGAGUAUGAUAUUUACUUUAGGAGAGAUUACAAUUCUCAACCACAAGAAGUUAGAACCAAUUUUAACGUGACAUUUGUUCAAGAUUGCAUCAAAUUAUUUUUCUAAACAUACUAAUGGUAAUCAAGCAUUAAGACACAUAAGUGGUAUAACUUAGUGAUUAAAAAUAUCAAAGUAAACAUAACAAUACUUAAGCAACCACAAGAGAAUUACAUAUUUGUGUUGAGGUUCUUGGUUUCACUGUAGCAAAAGAAAAUUAGUUACAAAUAAUUAUAUAAAUACAUACAACAUUAUCCAUGAGGAAUUAAAGAGGGAGAACAACCCGUUUUACAAGGCUUCCUCCGGAGCUCUCCAAAUCCUCAUCCGCUUCAUGCGUCUGAACGUUCCUGCUCAACUCAAAUUCAAAAUCGGCAACAACUGAUCAGCUGCAACUGGAAACAAGAUGCCGUGAGAGCAGCUCCUCACCUGAUCCUAAUCCUGUGGAAGUUCAAGUUUAAACUUUUGUAAUUAUAUUUUUCAUGUAAUUAUCUUUUAUUUAUCAGUUUGUUUCAAAGAGUUUUACUGUUGUUAAAACUUCUUCAAUGUAAAGUCUAUAUAUACUGGAAUACAAACAGAAGUAAUUCAUCGAGCAAAAUCACCCUUUCUUAUUUUCUAUCUUUCUUUUCAUUCUUUGCAGCUGCUCUGCUGCUUAAUGCCUCGAACAUCCCUCUCAUUCCUUUCUGUCCCCUUGCUUUUCAAUCAUUUCGACCUUUCCUCAUUUGUUUAUUAUUUUCCAUGCCCUUUCUGUCCUUUUAUUCCCUUCUUUCCCUCCUUUUCUUCUCUUUCCAUUUUCUUUCACUUCUCUUUCUUCUCCAGCCGCCUACCUCCCAACAUAGAAAAUAUUAAUUCGUUCAACUUUCGGCUCUUGCAACUUUCGGCUACUGGAGUCCAACUGGAGUGUAGGUUUAAUUAAUAAACCAAAUGGAACACAUAUUUUAAUGGGAUACUUGGUUUCGUGUGAAGAAAAAUUUCAUUGUAAUGGGAAUAUGUAUGGUGCAUCACAUGUUUUUAUGUAAGUGGUAAAAAAAUUUUAUUUUUUAAGUUAUUAAUAUUCUAAUACACAUAUUUUCACCAUUUGUAUAACGACACAUGUGUAUCACCAUGUGUGCCGAUCAUACUGAAAGAUAUCUCUUGAGUAUGAGUUGCAUUUGUACUUCCAUUUGCAUAUUUUUUUCACCAAAAUAAAUUUUUCUGCUUCUGGAAACACAAUAUGGCAAAAGUAAUACAAAAACUUAAAAAUUUCCAGAUUACGGAAAAUAAAAAGGGGCAAAAUAUAGGGUAUAGAUUUUGGCUCAUCAUGUAGCAAAUGACUAACAUGCACCUUUUAGACUGCCACUUGAUUUCUUUAGACUAAUGCCACAAUGAAGUUAUGGUUUAUAUUAGGAAAUUAAUAUUUUUUUUAAGAGUGUUUAGGAAGAAUGGUGGGUGGUGGGGAAGUGGGUGCCAAAAUCAUUUUUAUUUUUAAAUUUCAUUCGGACUUUCUAUGCAGCAUCAGAUUCAAUAUACUAUCAAAGUUCCUAUUCCAUUGAGGGAAACGAAAGUAAAAUAUAAAAAAUGUCUACUAUGGUUUGUGGAACCAAUUAAUGGAUACAAAUAUAUAUAUUAAAUUGUAGAACUGAAUUUUUAUUUUUAUUUCCUACAUAGAUAUAUUUACAUUAAGAAAGUGAGAGAAUAAAUUGUGUUGCAAAUUUAUCAUUGUCAGAUUUGAAUCUAAGAUUUCUCAUUUAUAAGUAAAGAUAAAUAUCACUAAACCAUAAUAGUACGUGAAACUAAAUUAUUAAGAUGAUACUCAAAAUAAGUUUUAGUGGGCUAGAUGACACUCAAAAUAAGCUUUUUUUACCUUGUUAAUAAAAAAUUUAAUCUGUGGCUGUAUAUGCUUACAAAUACCAAUCAACCCAAGUUAUAUAAGAGUAUCUCUAAAGGAGAUGUAAAAUUCUAGAUGGAGAUAUGACUGUGCAUAUUUGACAUCAAAAAUCCUUUCAAUCAAAGUUUUAUUUGCGUACUGGAUUUAAAGCUUUUGUGUUUAGGAGUAUUAUUUAUUAGUCUAAUUGCAUAUCCCUUAUUUCACUAAUAUUUCAACCAAUAAAAUUUUGUUUAAACAAUUUUUUUAAUAAAUACAACUAUUUAAAGCUCUAGAUUAAUAAAAAAUAAUAUUUGACAACUCGGUUGGAGAAACAUAAAAUUUAACAUAAGAUUUCAGAUUGCCACAUUAAUCACCAAUUGUAAUUUAACUAUAAUAAUUUCACAUUUUCGUUAGAGAUGAUCUAAUGCAUUAUAGGGAGUUGAAUUGUAGGUAGCUACUACUACUCACCGCCAAGAAAGUCAUUGCAAUUUGCAGCCAGUCCAACUGUCCAAGUCCAAGUCAUAUAAAAAGACACCGUUGGAUGUAUAGUAUAGGGAGUAUUCUUACCAUCAUAACUAUAGUAUACGCUCAUUAUACACCUAAUUAUCUGUCACAUGUUCCUUCAUCUAAUUCUGGUUAACUUUCACAUCAAAUGUUUUUUCAUUUUUGAAAAACAAUUAAUCAAGAUUAAGUAAAAAGACACAUGACAGAUGAUUAGAUGUAUAGUAAACAUACAUCAUAGUUUAUAGUGGCAAACAAAAAUGCUCUCUUGGAACUUUGUGUUUAUUCAAAAAAAAAAAAAACCUAGUUAUCGUUUUAAUAAAAAAACGUAUCUCUCCUAGUUUUAUGGUUGACCACUUCUUUUCUACCAAACAGGUUUUGUUUUGAAGAUAAAAGAAAAUACUUAAUCUUUCUCAACUAGGUGAUCACUUCAGAUUUUUUGGCCUGAUUCUAAGGCCACCUUUUCCUCUACCUCUUCAACGUUAAACUUUGGUUCUUCUAUUAUAAAUAUGAGGGUCUUUCAUUAGUCGAAUAAGAAGAAGAAAAAAAAGUGGAAAACUAAAGCUAUAAACACUAAGCAACAACAACAACAACAACAACAAAAAGCCUUUUCCCACUAAGUGGGGUCGGCUAUAUAUGAAUCCUAGAACGCCAUUGCGCUCAUUUUGUGUCAUGUCCUCCGUUAGAUCCAAGUACUCAAGUCUUUUCUUAGGGUCUCUUCCAAAGUUUUCCUAGGUCUUCCUCUACUCCUUCGGGCCCGAACCUCUGUCCCGUAGUCACACAUUUUCGAACCGGAGCGUCAGUAGGCCUUCUUUGCACAUGUCCAAACCACCGGAACCGAUUUUCUCUUAUAUUUCCUUCAAUUUUGGCUACUCCUACUUUACCUUGGAUAUCCUAAUUCCCAAUCUUAUCCUUUCUCGUGUGCCCAUACAUCCCACGAAGCAUCCUCAUCUCCGCUACACCCAUUUUGUGUACGUUGAUGCUUCACCGCCCAACAUUCUGUGCCAUACAACAUCACUGGCCUUAUUGCCGUCCUAUAAAAUUUUCCCUUGAGCUUCAGUGGCCUACGACGGUCACACAACACGCCGGAUGCACUCUUACACUUCAUCCAUCCAGCUUGUAUUCUAUGGUUGAGAUCUCCAUCUAAUUCUCCGUUCUCUUGCAAGAUAGAUCCUAGGUAGCGAAAACGGUCACUUUUUGUGAUCUUCGCUAGAUUGCUCCGGUCAUUAGUGUGGAUAAGUAUAUAAAUGGAUAGAGAUAGGAAAGCAAACACAAGAUGUACGUGGUUCACCCAGAUUGGCUACGUCCACGGAAUAGAGGAGUUCUUAUUAAUUGUGAAGGGUUUACACAAGUACAUAGGUUCAAGCUCUCCUUUAGUGGGUACAAGUGAAUGAUUUAGUACAAAUGACAUUAGGAAAUAUUGUGGGAGAAUGAUCUCGUAGCCACGAAACUUCUAAGUACCGGAGUGUGGUAUCGUCUUGACUUGCCUUAUCUGUCUCAUAGGUAGUACUCUUCCUCCAUCCAGGGGUGGUAUCUGUAACUGGUGGAGAUGCACAAGGUAAUGUAUCAAUUUCACUUGAAGCUUACUUGUAGUUUCAUGCUUGGUCAAGCGAGAUACAAACCAUGUAGUAGGAGUCCCCCAAGUCGCCGAGCUGGGGGAUCUGUUGAAAGAGGUGACAGACAAGGUAAGCAAUCAGAGCUCCGGCUGAUUGUUCACAUUCUCCCUAUCUUGCAGGCAGCAUGAAGGAUAAAGAGAAGAAAAAUGAGGAGAGAUGAUAUGGGAUACUUUUGCUUUUGAAGAAGUAACUUUCCACAGGCUUAUUCUUGAACUGGGCUGGAGGGUUUUCUGGUUUUCUCCAGAGUAUAAGGCCGACUGAAGAAUUUGAGGGUCAAAACAAGUCCAUCAAAUCUAGAGUACGUUCGACCCUGCUGAUAUGGGAUACUUUUGCUUUUGAUAGAGUAGUGGAUGUAUCGGCACGUGUGCUGUUACGCUUGUCUCCACAUGCUUCCUUGUAUCCUUCUCACUUGCCCUAUCUGUUCCUCAGGCAGAUGCGGUAUCUUCCCUGGAAAGCAUAAGAUGUUGAAGAUGAGUACUCGAGAGAGCAAUGCCAGGUAAGUAAUCAGGUAAGGGGUUCCAGGCAGUCAGUUCCUGGCUGGAAGCUUGAUUCCAAGUGCUGACUGAUUGCUCUCUUUCUCCUUGUCUUACAGGUAAGAACAAGGCCAAAGGAAAAGACAGGGAAAAAGCAUGAUAUGGGAUACUCUUGCUUUUAACCCUGAUGAUAUGAGAUAAUCUUGCUCUAGUAUAGCUUGUUUACAGAGGUAUUAUCGGGGGGAAAGAAAGCUGAAUAUUUCGAAAGGCUUUGUUGGGAGUGCCCUCUCAGAUAAGAGAAAGGGUUGAGCAUUUUUGCAGGUCUGCCUGUCCGUUAGGGAUGGAAGUCGACAUAUAUAGGAGUCUCCCUAACAUCAAGUAAUAAUGCUAUUCCUUUACCCUGCUUGGUUAUAGCACGGUAGUGGGAGCUGCCAGCUUCACAUGUUUUAACUCUAUCAGAGCACUUUGAAAAAGUGGUUUGUGGUAUCUGGAAAGCUGAUGCUGAUGUUGCGUGUGAAGAUUACAGACCUGUCGGGGGUCUGGCUCUCGAGAUUCAGAGAACGAUGCCUCUUCGAUUUUUGAGAAAACAAUCCUGCUGGGGGUCUGGCUCUCGAGAUUCGGAGAACGAUGCCUUUUCGAUUUUUGAGAAAGUAAUCAUGUUGGGAGUCUGGCUCUCGAGAUUCGGAGGGCCGUGCCUCUUCGAUUUUGGAGCAAGCAAUCUUGUUGGGAGUGUUUUCUCGAAUGUGAGUAAAGGUUGGGCAUGUUUGCUAGUCUACCUUGCCACGAAGCACGGAGGUUGACACACAGGGACUUUCCAAUUAUCCAGCAGUGGUACUGUUCCUUUACCCUCUCUUCGAUUUUGAGAAAGUAAUCAUGUUGGGAGUCUGGCUCUCGAGAUUCGGAGGGCGGGUGCCUCUUCGAUUUUGGAGCAAGCAAUCUUGUUAGGAGUGUUUUCUCGAAUGUGAGUAAAGGUUGGGCAUGUUUGCUAGUCUACCUUGCUACGAAGCACAAAGGUUGACACACAGGGACUUUCCAAUUUAUCCAGCAGUGGUACUGUUCCUUUACCCUCUCUUCGAUUUUUGAGAAAGUAAUCAUGUUAGGAGUCUGGCUCUCGAAAUUCGGAGGGCGGUGCCUCUUCGAUUUUGGAGCAAGCAAUCUUGUUAGGAGUGUUUUCUCGAAUGUGAGUAAAGGUUGGGCAGUCUACCUUGCCACGAAGCACAGAGGUUGACACACCGGGACUUUCCAAUUAUCCAGCAGUGGUACUGUUCCUUUACCCUUGUGGGUAAUAAUAUGGUAGCUAGACCUUCAAAAUUUAUGUGUCUAAACUUUGUUAGUGUUGUUUCUUUGCAAUUCUUUUACCCUUCUUGGUCAGAGCGAUGUAGUGGGAGCUGCAAGCUUCACGUGUCUCAACUUUGUCAGAGAACUUUGGCAAAGUUAUCUGUGGUACCCAUGAGCUACUGUUGCGUGUGGGAAGUGGGUGAUUGAACAGUACGAUUCAUGUGCUUUCUACUUCGCCAGAAAUCUUCGACAGAAUGCCCAUAAUUUCCGCAAAGCUGAGUGUGCGUGUGACAGGUGCUGACAAGGCUGGAAAAGUAGGUGCCUCUUCGAUUUCUGAAAUCGGCCCUCGUGGUCUCUGAGCAGCCCAGCUUUUGAGAAAGCAAGCCUCUUCGAUUUCUGAGAUCGACCUUUGUGGUCUUUGAGCAGCCCAGCUUUUGAGAAAGCAAACACCUCUUCGAUUUCUGAGAUCGACCCUCGUGGUCUCUGAGCAGCCCAGCUUUUGAGAAAGCAAACGCCUCUUCGAUUUCUGAGCAGGCGCCUCUUCGAUUUCUGAAGCUUCGUCGAGUGCAGAUUUUUAUAGGGGCUGACAUUAAGUUCCAAAGCACACUUGAAUAUCCACCAGUAGAAGCUCCAUUCUUGCACUUCUAAGAUCUUGAUUUGUCCGACCUCUUCUCUCUUCAACACCUUUGAAAAUGUCUGGCCCCUCCGACCGUCGUUUUGACUUGAACCUUGUUGAAGAGGCAGCCCCGCCUUCUCCAGACAACAUAUGGCGCCCAUCCUUCGUCUCCCCUACUGGUCCUCUUACCGUUGGGGAUUCCGUGAUGAAGAAUGAUAUGACCGCUGCGGUAGUGGCCAGGAACCUUCUCACUCCCAAAGAUAACAGACUACUUUCCAAACGGUCUGAUGAGUUGGCUGUUAAGGAUUCUCUGGCUCUCAGUGUUCAGUGUGCAGGUUCUGUGUCUAAUAUGGCCACAACGCCUAUUUGCUCGAACCCGCCAAGUUGAAUCAUUGGCGGCUGAAGUGAUGAGUCUCAAACAGGAGAUUAGAGGGCUCAAGCAUGAGAAUAAACAGUUGCACCGGCUCGCACAUGACUAUGCUACAAACAUGAAGAGGAAGCUUGACCAGAUGAAGGAAUCUGAUGGUCAGGUUUUACUUGAUCAUCAGAGAUUUGUGGGUUUGUUCCAAAGGCAUUUAUUGCCUUCGUCUUCUGGGGCUGUACCGCGUAAUGAAGCUCCAAAUGAUCAACCUCUGAUGCCUCCUCCUUCUAGGGUUUUGUCCAGUACUGAGGCUUCGAAUGAUCCCCCUCCGGUGCCUUCUCUUUCUGGGGCUCUACCGACUGCUGAGACUUCUCCUAAGCAACCUUUGUGAAGGCUCCCUCUUGUUUUGUUUAUUUGACUCAAGUAUAUGUACAUAUUUGUAACUUAUCGGGGAUAUCAAUAAAUAAGCUUUCCUUCAUUUCAACGUAUUGUGUUAAAUACACCAAAGCCUUCUUCGCUAAGUUCUUUGAAUUUUCUUUUGUUGAAGCUUGUAUGUUGAAGCUUUGUGAGUGGAGCAUAUAGGUUGAGGUAGUGUUCCCUUAAUUUCCCGAGUGAGGAAAACUUCUCGGUUGGAGACUUGGAAAAUCCAAGUCACUGAGUGGGAUCGGCUAUAUGAAUCUUAGAACGCCAUUGUGUUCUGUCCUGUGUCAUGUCCUCCGUUAGAUCCAAGUACUCUAAGUCUUUUCUUAGGGUCUCUUCCAAAGUUUUCCUAGGUCUUCCUCUACCCCUUCGGCCCUGAAUCCUCUGUCCCAUAGUCGCAUCUUCUAAUCGGAGCGUCAGUAGGCCUUCUUUGCACAUGUCCAAACCACCGUAACCGAUUUUCUCUCAUCUUUCCUUCAAUUUCGGCUACUCCUACUUUACCCCGGAUAUCCUCAUUCCUAAUCUUAUCCAUUUCUCGUGUGCCCACACAUCCAACGAAGCAUCCUCAUCUUCCGCUACACCCAUUUUGUGUACGUGUUGAUGCUUCACCGCCCAACAUUCUGUGCCAUACAGCAUCGCCGGCCUUAUUGCCGUCCUAUAAAAUUUUCCCUUGAGCUUCAGUGGCAUACGGCGGUCACACAACACGCCGGAUGCACUCUUCCACUUCAUCCAUCCAGCUUGUAUUCUAUGGUUGAGAUCUCCAUCUAAUUCUCCGUUCUUUUGCAAGAUAGAUCCUAGGUAACGAAAACGGUCGCUCUUUGGUAUUUCUUGAUCUCCGAUCCUCACCCCUAACUCGUUUUGGCCUCCAUUUGCACUGAACUUGCACUCCAUAUAUUCUGUCUUUGAUCGGCUUAGGCGAAGACCUUUAGAUUCCAACACUUCUCUCCAAAGGUUAAGCUUUGCAUUUACCCCUUCCUGAGUUUCAUCUAUCAACACUAUAUCGUCUGCGAAAAGCAUACACCAAGGAAUAUCACCUUGAAUAUGUCCUGUUAACUCAUCCAUUACCAACGCAAAAAGGUAAGGACUUAAGGAUGAGCCUUGAUGUAAUCCUACAGUUAUGGGAAAGCUUUCGGUUUGUCCUUCAUGAGUUCUUACGGCAGUCUUUGCUCCUUCAUACAUAUCCUGUAUAGCUUGGAUAUAUGCUACUCGUACUCCUUUCUUUUCUAAAAUCCUCCAAAGAAUGUCUCUUGGGACCCUAUCAUACGCUUUUUCCAAAUCUAUAAAGACCAUGUGUAAAUCCUUUUUCCCAUCUCUAUAUCUUUCCAUCAAUCUUCGUAAGAGAUAGAUUGCCUCCAUGGUUGAGCGCCCUGGCAUGAACCCGAAUUGGUUGUCCGAAACCCGUGUCUCUUGCCUCAAUCUAUGCUCAAUGACCAUCUCCCAGAGCUUCAUUGUAUGACUCAUUAGCUUAAUUCCCCUAUAGUUCAUGCAAUUUUGUACAUCGCCCUUAUUCUUGUAGAUAGGCACCAAAGUGCUCAUUCGCCACUCAUUCGGCAUCUUCUUCGUUUUCAAAAUCCUAUUGAAAAGGUCAGUGAGUCAUGUAUACCUAUCUCUCCCAAAACUUUCCACACUUCGAUUGGUAUAUCGUCUGGGCCUACUGCUUUUCUAUGCUUCAUCUUCUUCAAAGCUACACCCACUUCUUCCUUCCGGAUUCUACGAUAAAAAGAGUAGUUUCUACACUCUUCUGAGUUACUCAACUCCCCUAAAGAAUCACUCAUUUCAUGUCCUUCAUUGAAAAGAUUAUGAAAAUAACAUUUCCAUCUGUCUUUAACCGCGUUCUCUGUAGCAAGAACCUUUCCAUCCUCAUCCUUGAUGCACCUCACUUGGUUUAGGUCCUUUGUCUUCUUUUCCCUUACUCUAGCUAGUUUAUAGAUAUCCAACUCUCCUUCUUUGGUAUCUAGUCGCUUAUACAUAUCGUCAUAAGCCGCUAACUUAGCUUCUCUCACAGCUUUCUUCGCCUCUUGCUUCGCUUUUCUAUACCUUUCACCAUUUUCAUCGGUCCUAUCCUUAUAUAAGGCUUUACAACAUUCCUUCUUAGCCUUCACCUUUGCUUGUACCUCCUCAUUCCACCACCAAGAUUCCUUUUGGUGUGGGGCAAAGCCCUUGGACUCUCCUAAUACCUCUUUUGCUACUUUUCGGAUACAACUAGCCAUGGAAUCCCACAUUUGGUUAGCUUCCCCCUCUCUAUCCCACACACACUGGGUGAUUACUUUCUCUUUGAAAAUGACUUGUUUUUCUUCUUUUAGAUUCCACCAUCUAGUCCUUGGGCACUUCCAAGUCUUGUUCUUUUUUCUCACUCUUUUGAUAUGUACAUCCAUCACCAACAAGCGAUGUUGAUUAGUCACGCUCUCUCCUGGUAUAACUUUGCAAUCCUUACAAGUUAUACGAUCCCCUUUCCUCAUUAGAAGAAAUCUAUUCGUGUUGUGUGACCGUCGUAGGCCACUGAAGCUCAAGGGAAAAUUUUAUAGGACGACAAUAAGGCCAGCGAUGUUGUAUGGCACAGAAUGUUGGGCGGUGAAGCAUCAACGUACACAAAAUGGGUGUAGCGGAGAUGAGGAUGCUUCGUGGGAUGUAUGGGCACACGAGAAAGGAUAAGAUUGGGAAUUAGGAUAUCCGAGGUAAAGUAGGAGUAGCCAAAAUUGAAGGAAAUAUAAGAGAAAAUCGGUUCCGGUGGUUUGGACAUGUGCAAAGAAGGCCUACUGACGCUCCGGUUCGAAAAUGUGACUACGGGACAGAGGUUCGGGGCCGAAGGAGUAGAGGAAGACCUAGGAAAACUUUAGAAGAGACCCUAAGAAAAGACUUGAGUACUUGGAUCUAACGGAGGACAUGACACAAAUGAGCGCAAUGGCGUUCUAGGAUUCAUAUAGCCGACCCCACUUAGUGGGAAAAGGCUUUGUUGUUGUUGUUGUUGUUGUUGUUGCUUAGUGUUUAUAGCUUUAGUUUUCCACUUUUUUUUCUUCUUCUUAUUCGACUAAUGAAAGACCCUCAUAUUUAUAAUAGAAGAACCAAAGUUUAACGUUGAAGAGGUAGAGGAAAGGUGGCCUUAGAAUCAGGCCAAAAAAUCUGAAGUGAUCACCUAGUUGAGAAAGAUUAAGUAUUUUCUUUUAUCUUCAAAACAAAACCUGUUUGGUAGAAAAGAAGUGGUCAACCAUAAAACUAGGAGAGAUACGUUUUUUUAUUAAAACGAUAACUAGGUUUUUUUUUUUUUGAAUAAACACAAAGUUCCAAGAGAGCAUUUUUGUUUGCCACUAUAAACUAUGAUGUAUGUUUACUAUACAUCUAAUCAUCUGUCAUGUGUCUUUUUACUUAAUCUUGAUUAAUUGUUUUUCAAAAAUGAAAAAACAUUUGAUGUGAAAGUUAACCAGAAUUAGAUGAAGGAACAUGUGACAGAUAAUUAGGUGUAUAAUGAGCGUAUACUAUAGUUAUGAUGGUAAGAAUACUCCCUAUACUAUACAUCCAACGGUGUCUUUUUAUAUGACUUGGACUUGGACAGUUGGACUGGCUGCAAAUUGCAAUGACUUUCUUGGCGGUGAGUAGUAGUAGCUACCUACAAUUCAACUCCCUAUAAUGCAUUAGAUCAUCUCUAACGAAAAUGUGAAAUUAUUAUAGUUAAAUUACAAUUGGUGAUUAAUGUGGCAAUCUGAAAUCUUAUGUUAAAUUUUAUGUUUCUCCAAGCAUCUGAGUAAAUAGGGCGAUAGUAUUCGGAUCUUCCUCAGUGCAAGAGAGGGUCUAAACAGAAGGAUUCUGGGCUGUUUUAUAUUAGGGAUGACGUGGUAUAUAUUUGUAAACUGCUUGCACACAUUGACAGAACCGCGAAACAUCUUAAAAAAAACGACUCACGACUCAACCCAAGACAGUUCUCCAUUCUUUUGUUCAUUCUCUGGUAAUAUUGUUCUUGUUUUAUAGUGCAGCACAUAUUAUGUGUCUCAUUUGCCUCUGGUUGGUUGAGUCAGAUAUUGGAUUAGAGGUUCCAUGAUUUUAAAACUUAUUUUGUCUCCUGGAAAGAGCCAAAAGUGUCCUUGAGUAUUAUAUAUUCGCGUUGCAACACAAGACAAGCGUUGCCAUUAUUUCGUUCGUGAUAGGAAUCACUGUAGUGCUGUAAACAGUGACACUACAAUGACAACCCAUGAGGCGUCUUCUUCAUUAUCCUCCUCCUCCUCAAAACUAUGGAAGUACGAUGUAUUCUUGAGCUUUAGAGGCGAAGAUACACGCAAUGGCUUCACGGGCCACCUCCAUGCGGCAUUAAAAGACAAGGGCUACGAGGUCUUUAUUGAUGAGGAUGAUCUGAAAAGAGGGGAAGAAAUAAAACCCGAACUGUUCCGGGCAAUCGAAGAGUCCAGAAUCUCGAUCAUUGUCUUCUCAAAGAGUUACGCGGAUUCAAGAUGGUGUCUUGACGAGCUGGUGAAGAUCAUGGAAUGUAAAGAAAAGCCGGGGCAAGAGGUUUUACCAAUAUUCUAUCAUGUCGAUCCUUCACAUGUGCGGAAGCAGGAGGGUUGUUUAGCCCGAGCAUUUCAGAAGCACGAAGAUGGCAUCUUUGAAGAAAAAGAUGACAAAGAACGUGAAGCUAUGAAAGAAACGGUAAAACAAUGGAGGGAGGCUCUUACUCAAGCUGCAAAUUUGUCUGGCCACUAUCUUAAUAACGGGUGAUUAAUAUUUUUCAUUAGACGUAGACGUCUUUCAAUACUCGAUUAGUAUAAUAGUACUGCUGCUAUCUAUUCGGCUUUUCCCCAUUUUGAAACAUUUUAAUGAAUGGUUGAAACAUUUUAAGUUAUAUACAUUACUCAAGUCCAAGCAUCGAAAAAUUAAGGUUAUUUGGUUCAAGUGGUUUAAAUAAUAUUGGGCAUCUCUCUCCUACAUAUUGCACGUUGAUUUUAGGUUGAAAUAUCCCACAUUCUAAUACUUCCUACUCUCAAAUCCUAUAUUAGAGUAGCAAUAAUCCUCUAAUAUCUCCAUAUUUGCGGUCAGACGUGAUUCUUUCUCUUUGUAUCAAAUUGAUAUACGCUUGUUUUAGUCGAAGAAGUCAGGCUAUAUCAUCUCCCACCAUAACGUUCAUGUUUAUCUAUAUAUACGUUCUCCAUUUAGUUAAUUCUUUAUAUUGAGUGAAGGUGAUAAGCUUCUGGUAAUCCUUCAUUGAGUUAAUGCUUAUUAAUUGAGUUUUCAGGCAUGAAGCAAAGUUUAUUAGGAAAAUUGUUGAUGAGAAUAUAUGGGAAUGGCGCCCCAGCACAAACGAAUAUUUACAUGUGGCCACGCACCCGGUUGGAAUCGACUCUCGUGUUCAACCAAUUAUCAGUGAUCUUUCAAGCUGUGGAUCAAAUGACGUCAAAAUGGUUGGAAUUUGGGGGAUGGGUGGAUUGGGCAAAACAACUGCUGCUAAAGCCAUUUAUAACAAAAUUCAUCACAACUUCCAAUUUAAAUGUUUCCUUGCCGACGUUAGCGACACUGUAAGUAAAUAUGGUCUAAUUUAUUUGCAAGAACAGCUUGUUUCUAACAUUUUGAAACAAACCACCAAGUUCCAGAUAAAUAGUGUCGAUGCAGGAAUCGGUGUAAUAAAACAACAUCUUCGACGUAGAAUAGUACUUCUUGUUAUUGAUGAUGUAGAGACAGUGGGCCAACUAAAUGCAAUAGUUGGAAAUCGUGAUUGGUUUAGUUCAGGAAGUAUAAUUAUCAUAACAACAAGAGAUGAGCAUUUACUAAAUCAAUGGAAAGUGAAUAUGAGAUAUCCAACUUGGGUAAUGAAUGAAGAAGAAGCUCUUGAGCUCUUUAGUUGGCAUGCUUUUGGAAAUAGUUUGCCUAAUGAAGAAUAUCAUGAAUUGUCAAAGAAGGUAGUCUCUUAUUGUGGAGGUUUGCCACUAGCACUCGAAGUUUUGGGCUCUUUACUUAUGGGCAGAACCAUAACAGAGUGGGAAAGCGAACUGGAGAAAUUGAAAAGAGUACCUGAAGGAGAAAUUAUAGAAAAACUCAGAAUAAGCUUUGAUAGGCUAGAUGAUACUCAGAAGGCUAUAUUCCUUGAUAUAUCUUGUUGCUUUCUUGGAAUGGACAAGGAUUAUGUCACAAAAAUAUUAGAUGGAUGUGGCUUCUUUGCAACAAUAGGAAUCAGUAUUCUCCGUGAAAGAUGUCUUGUAAUUAUUGAAUACGGCAAGUUGAAGAUGCAUGAUUUGGUUCAAAAAAUGGGCAAGAUAAUCAUUUUCAAAGAAUCCCCUACUCAACUUGAAAGAUGGAGUAGACUGUGGAACCUUGAAGCCGUAAUAAAUGUGUUGAUAAAUGAAUCUGUAAGUAGUUUCGCAACAAAAUUUUAUAUUAAUGCUCGCUAAAUCAUAUCUUUGUGCAACUGGCCUAUAUUUUAGAAUAUUAUGUAGAAAUGUAUUUAUGCAAUAAACCUUCAUGUGGAAAUAGAAGCAAUUAAAUCGACUUUCUGUAGGAAAAUAUUAGUAUUUAGGUUAAUUUUAAUAUUUUAUUUUUUGAGAUUAGGCUGUUAGUAUUAAAUGUUUAUUUCCUUGCCUAUUAAAAUUAGAUUUUUUUUUUUUUACGAAUUUAUAAUGUUCUCUUUCCUUUUGACUAAUACAUUAUUAUUCGCUGUUUAUAUUUCAUUAGUUUGUACUUUGGUUUUCAACAAAUUAAUCCUUCAAAAUUUAAUCUGUUCUUUUUGUUUGUCGUUCAUCGCCUCUCCCGAUACUCAGUUGUUUGUUUGUCUAAUUUGGAUCAGUAUGUUGAGUUCUCACUGAUUUAUAAAAAAUUAAAAAAUUAAAAAAAAAAAAGUAUGUAGUUUGAAGUCACUGCCACACCAACCACCUGCACUCGACCCGCACCCCUGAACUUGCAGCCUGACCCGCUUCUGCAACCCGUCGUCCCUCGCUGAUUUCCGCACGCCCAGAUCUGCUGGAACCCAAAACCUCCUCACCUGCUCAACAUGAAGCCUGUACUCACCGUACCCGCACCCCACCGCUGUAGCACCAGGUUCAACCGUCGCACGUUGCUACACCUGCGCCCACCGUCCCUGUCACGCCGUUGUCCCGCCCGCUGCCACCUGUACCCAGACCCGCGAAUCCAUCUGCUUGCCGUCCACCUGAACCACAGCGAAUCCUAUAAUCGCACCCAAAGGAUGACACACCCAGUCGUGUUUGCCCAAACCACAUCGGAAUCCCGCUGCUUGUUGCUUUCUUUUUCGUUUGUUUGAAUCGAAGCCAGAUCAGUUCGUGGAGUUGUCAAAGUUGUCUUGAUUGAUAGAAAAAGAAAGCGUUCACUAGCUCUCCUUCUGCGAUGAUUUGCUUCUUCAGGAAAAGGGAGGAAUUUGCCGAAUUCAGAAGAGUGGGUAUAAUAACAAGGUUACUUGAAUGAAUUGCUGAAGUUUUUCAACCCUGGUUUUGAUUGAUAUCCUGGAGUCCAUGGAAUCGACAAAUGAAAGAAGUAUUGAAGUUUGAGAACUUCGGAUUGGGUCUGAUGACUGUUGUUGUGCCCAUUUUGGUUGCUUUUUGAGACUAGUUGAAGUUUGGACUUGUAUAUGAAGUGUUAUUGUUCACCACGGCGGUCACUCGAGUGCUUUGACUGAUGACCACUCAAGCGAUGUUAUGUGUGUGGUGAAUUGGAUUUUUCUUUUGUUCGAAAGCUCGCAAUUGUUAUUGGAGAAAUUUGCAUUAGCAUUGGUAUUGGUAUUGGUCUUGCACUAGCAUUGGCACUGAAAUCAUGCACUGGUACUUGCAAUAGCAUCAUAUUCCAUGUAUAUGAUAUGUAUCCAAUGCGAUGUAUGGGAUAUAUGACAAAGGUAGAGUGUUAGAGAAUUUCUAUUGAUCAGUCAUGUCAUAUAGGCCCGAGUCGAACAUCCAAUUGCUUCAAUUUGAAUUGUUCUUUUUUCCGCAUUUCACCCAAAGUUUGAAGGGAGAUAAUGCAUCAAGUUGUUCAAAGGGUUCAACUUGAUCCUCUUCACCAGGGAUCCCAUAUGAAGAACCCUAGGAGAGCCGCUGAUUCCAACUACCAUCCAUGUACGAUCCAUACUAGAUUUGUCCAACUGCCCAUCUUACCUCCUUUACAUUCUUUGAUAGCCCAUAUGUCUUAGUAGAGUCUUUUCAGUGGUAUGUUUCGGUCCUCUUCCCCAUUACUUAGAAAAAGUGAGCCACCGAUUCAGGGUACAAGAUACUAUCAUUAUUGCCUGGACAAUUAGACAUCCAGCCAGUUAGUACUAUCCGUUUCCUUGCCUAUUAGGGUUAUGUUAGUUUUCUGUAUAUAUGAUAUUUUGUAACUCUAUAGUAUAACAAGUCUAGCAAGAUGUAGUCUUAUAGGUUAAGUAGUUGUCUCGGUGAAUUUGUAAUGUCGUAUUUCUUUUCGAUUAAUAAAUUAUUAUUCAUAGUUUAUAUUUCGUUUGUUCAUAGCUUACUCUACUUUUUAACUUUUCCAAUCGAAAUUAUAAAUCGUAGCAAUUGUUAGUAUGCUCCUUCAUGUUUGUAAGUAAAUCUUUUUUCACAUGUAAAUUACCCUUUUGUUGCUCAUUAAUCAUUAUAUAUCCUUUUGUUUACUUAACAGGGAACUGAAGAAAAUGAAGUAGUUACUUUAGACUUGCCAAGCUCUAAAAAAGCUAGUUUCCGUACAAAAGCUUUUGCCGGUAUGAAAAAACUGAGGUUGCUGCAGCUCAGUAACGUAGAGCUCACUGGAAACUUCAAACAUUUUACGAAAGAGUUGAGAUGGUUGUGCUGGCAAGGAUUCCCUUUCAAGUCCAUGCCGAAGCACCUUCUUAAUCAACCAAAACUUGUCGCUCUUGACCUGCGCUUCAGCCAACUCAGACAAGGCUGGAAGAAUUCCAAGGUACAAUCACCCCUAGCUAGUUCUAAUUAAUUCUCUCUUUCUGAUUUUAUUUUUAGCUUUAUUUUUUUUAAGCCAUAUUCUUGUUGCCCAUGAGCGGUAGGUCUCGGGUUCGAGACUUGGGAGCAGCCUCUCCAUAAAUGGGGGUAAGGCUAGCCGACAUUCACCUUUCCCAGAACCUGCGUAAAGCGGGAGCCUUGUGCACUGGGUACGACCUUUUAUAUUCUUGUUGGAUUUUAAAUAAUAUUUGCUUUUGAGUUUGUGCAGCCGCUCGAGAUGUUGAAAAUCCUUGAUCUCAGUAGUUCCCGUAAGUUAAAAAGGUCACCAGACUUUUCAAGGCUCCCAAAUCUCGAAGAAUUGAAUUUUGAAGACUGUUCGAGUUUGUCCGAGAUUCACCCAUCCAUCGGUCAACUUAAAAGACUCACUUUGGUGAAUUUUGAAUACUGUACUAAGCUUAGGUAUCUUCCAGGGGAAUUCUAUAAGUCGAAAUCGGUUAAGACUCUUUAUUUUACCUACUGUUGGAGACUCAGAGAACUGCCUGAGGGCUUAGGGGAGAUGGUAGAAUUGAGAAAAGUUAGAGCACAUGAUAUAGGCAUAACACAAAUACCCUCUUCCAUAAUGAGAUUGACGAAUCUCAGAGAACUAAUUCUCUCAAACUGCAAUCUUAUUGAGGAUGUACACCUCAAGAAUCUUGGGAGUCUAAUUUCUUUAAAAGAUUUGGAUCUUGGUUCUAAUAGUUGUCGUAGCCUACCCAGCCUUAGUGGUCUUUCAAAUCUUGUAAAUUUGACGUUGGAUCUUUGCAGAAAUCUUCGUGCAAUCCCUAGUUUACCAACAAAUUUGGAAUCGUUGUCUGCAAUUGGCUGCCAUGCAUUGGAAACAAUGCCAGACUUUUCUCAAAUGUCAAAUAUGAGAGCACUGUAUCUAACUGAUUCUCCCAGAGUCAGAGAAGUUCCAGGCUUAGGCUUGGAUAUCAUUGAACUCUAUGGCAUGGCUUUGUAUGAAAGGGUGCACCAAUCUCACUGCUGAGUUUAGGGACAACAUCAUACAGGUCUCUCUCUAUCUCUGUCUCCUCAUUCUUGUCUUUCUCUGUCUAUCACACACACAAACACAAAUGUGUACAAGAAUUUGACAGUGCUAUAUUAUGUUGUAUAUAUAUUAUAGCGAUGGACUUCUUGCGGAAGUGGUGGCAUUUAUUUGGAUGGGAUUUAUGAUAUUCCGGAGUGGUUCGAGUUUGUCGCUGACGGCAAUAAAGUCAGUUUCGAUGUUCCUCAGUGUGAUGGUCGUAAUUUUAAAGGGUUGACGCUCUGCUGUGUUUAUUCGAAAAUCAAAGAAAAUUAUCAUCCUCUUGACAUUAUUGUUGUAAAUUGUACCAAGCAUACUACUUCGAGGGCCUUUUGGCCUUCCUGGGGAUCACUAGAGGAUUAUUUUUGGCAGGGACAAUUAUCGAACGAUAAGCUCAAGCUCAGUUUGCAAGAUGGGGACAAGAUUGUUAUUCUUUUAGAAGGUUUUAGAACGAGACCAAAGAAAACAGGGGUAAAUCUAGUAUGGGCCAAACCUUUGAAGGAAAAUAUGCAUGGUUCGCCUGAUUAUACGUACACAUCUGAAUCUGAACCGCAUCCGGAUUGGUUGUACGAUGAGUCAGUCCAGGACCAAGCCAUGACGACUACUAGAGAUGAAACCAAAUGACGAGAGAGCAUUAUCAGUUGCUAUUCUUGCAUUAUACUCUCCCCCAGACGACGUCAGCGUCUUUCUUGUUUUCCCAGCUCGAUUAUUCGGACAUUUGAUUUGAUCACGUUCAGCAGAUGAUUUGUUCCUCAUUUUACAGAUAAUUCGUUUGCGAUAUUGACUAGUUGUUCAGUUGUUAAUUGUUCUAUGCUUUACAAAUAUUCAUAUUCUCUUGUGGAACUAAAUUAUUAACAUCAUACUUCUACUUUUUCGGUCCUAAAUCAAAAUUUUAGAUUGAAUGUGCAGUUAAUGACGAUGGAUAGAAAUCAGGACUAUAAUCUCAUUGUUUCCUCGUGGAAUCCUUUCUAACAACUCCUCUGCUUCGUCUAACAGUACUCCAGCAUGGCCAAGAAGGUCGGUCAGAAAACCAUAGUGUUUCUAACCUCCGCUCAAUCUCUCAUUUAUCUCUCUCGUGGAGUUGAAGAACUCACGACCCUAAUCUAACAACCCUCUGUGAACUCGAGCAGUUAAGACAGCAAUGAAGGUGAGAUCAUCAAGCUUCAUGCCAGUGUGUACCAUUUUCGAGAACCACUCUAUUGGUUUGCUUGUCUUGCCAUUCCUUGCAUUGCAAGCCCACAAAUGAUUGAAGUCCAAGAGGCUGCUUCUUUGUCCCUAAUCCAUUAAAAAUCUCCAAAGAUUUGUCUAUGCUCCCCCAUUUCGCAUACAUUUCCAUAAGCCCGGUAGCAAAAACUGCAACAAAUUUUAUACUGUUUUCAUCUAUGUACCAAAAUAUUAUUUAAUUAUUUAAUGUUUAAUUUUUAAGUGUUUUGAACAAACUUUGUAAGAUUUUUUAAGUGUGAAUUUGAAGUAAAAUAAUAACAAAUGUAUGAGAUUGAAAUGUUUAAAAAAUGUUGUAUGAAGUUACAAUUGCAUCCAAACUUAGGCACAAAAUGUAAUUUACCCUUUUUUUCCGUUGGAAAUUCAAUGAUCCUGAUCAACAGACCACAAAUGGGAGCCUUUCGGCUUGUUGGCUUGCACGUGGGGGGCUGUCUGCUGCCGACGUUGCUGAUGGAAGUUGGCCAUUGCCAGCGGGCUCAGGCCGAGGCUUGAAUUGGUAGGGCAGCCCAACGGGGAUCAUGGAGCCCAAAUAGCCCCCUAUUUUCUUCUCCGCUACAGCUGCAAUUCUUGACCCAAGACAAUUUAACCCAAUUGCCCGGCCAAUUUUAGUAACGGUGGACUUGCUCCAAUGCUCCCAACUGAGCACUGCCCGUGAGGAGAGCGACCGCUGUAAAUUUAUCCCAUUUAACUCUUCUAGGUUGCAUCUCUUGGAAUAGAACCACCGCCUCGUCAAAACGGUUGUAUUGCACUUUUACGUCCCCAUUAAUCAUAGCCGUCCAGAGAACAGCAUCCUUAGUUGCACUCCCAUGUCCCAUCAACACACCUCUAUGGCCUCAUCAACCCUACACAAUUUCCAUAGCCAUACACCAUACUAGUACAACAGAACACGUUUUUCACCGCCCCUUCAUACAAAAUUAUCCAGCCUUCAAUCAAACAACCACAAUUUACAUGCAUAUUUGACAACGCAUUUCCAAUUUUAGUAGUGAAUUCAUGCUGACUUCUAAAGUAGUCAUGAAUUUCUUCCCAAGCAACAAAUUUUUCAACUCUGUGCAAGCCGAAAGGGUGCUUGCAACAGUAACUUCAUCAGGCUUCUCCAUGCUCUCACAUCGCAUCUGCCAAAACAUAUCCAAAGCAUCCUCAAACCUCCUGCACCUAACAUACCCCAAAAUCGUAACGUUCCAACAAAGCCUGUUUCUUUCGGGCAUUUCAUCCAACGCUUGCCAGAAACUCUCAACCAUGCCCAUUUCCGGAUACAUGUCAAUGAGCGAUUUACACAUAUACGCUUCAAACCCUGUUCCAGUUUUUACCACAAACCCACGAACCUUUUUACCUUCACGAACAUCUCCCAAGCAUCCAAUGGCUUUCAAAACAAAUGGGUAGAUGAAAUUAUAACGUGAAAGAUUGACCAUUGUGCACAUUUCAUUCUCGUAGGUGCGUUUGAUAACCAUUUCGUUUUUAGUUUUCAAUUUGUUUUUACAUUUUUUUGAAAACUGAAAAGAAAAAAUUAAAAUCGUGUUUGAUAACUACUUUCAAUUUUCAGUUUUAAAAAAAUGAAAAAUGAAAACUGCUCAAGUUUUUAAUUUUGGCAUUGAGUUUUUUAUUUUCAAUUUUCUUUUUUUUUUAAAACUAAAAGUAGUUGCUAAAUUAGAUUUCAAUUUUCAAAAAAGUGAAAACUAAAAACCAAAACAAAGAACUGAAGGCAAAAAAACUAAAGCAAAAUGAUUAUUAAAGGGUCCUUUAGCUUUUGCAAUUUACAGGCUUAGGGUCCUGAAUGCUAAAAACAACUUUUCUUCUGUUCAAUAUUGGACCUUAAGUUGGGCUGAAAGAAUGGGAAUUGUUUUAGAUGCUUCAAAAUGAACCAAGAUCUUCUCCUGAGCAAUUCCCUAGGGAUCCUAAGGAUCCUGCAAUCAUGUUCGUUCAUCGUAUAUCGUGUGGUCAUAAAUCAUUUAAAAUUUAAAUUUUAAAAUUCAAAUAUGAAUAGUACUUAACGAAAACUGAUCGCACGAUAUAAAAUAAACAGACAAGAUUGCGGGAUCCUUAGGAUCCCUAGGGAAUUGCUCAGAAGAGGAUCCUGGUUCCUUCAAAAUGGCUUCAAUCAUUUUUUUGAAAGUAUUAAAAAAUUGUAAUUUCUAUGCUAAAGUUACGUAUGAGUACAUAAGGAAUUACUAGCAUGCAUCUUUCAAGCAGUAAAUCAUUACAAACACCAAAAACGACAUUUUCAUUCUGACUCAUUGAAUGGCAUAUUUGGUCUCAUCUUAUGAGGGGUAUGGUUUGGAUCGUUCACUCAUUGAGUUGUGUGCACCAUUUAAAGAAAGAAUGACUAACAUGCAUCUUUUAGGCCGUCACAUGCUUUUUUAAACUAAUGCUACAAUGUCAUGUAAAUAUAUGACAUCGACUUAAAGUGUUUUUGUUAAAUAACUGCAAGGUUAUAAUUGAAAAUAAGCGAGCUUGUACAAGAGACUUUGGAUGAGAAAAUGAAGUUAAGGAGAAGAUAGAGGUGGGAUGACGAUAUUGGGAAUUAAUAUUUUUUUUAAGGGUGUUUAGGAAGAAUGGUGCGUGGCGGGGAAGUGGGUGCCAAAAUGAUUUUAUUUUUUAAUUUCAUUCGAACUUCUAUGCAGCCUCAGGUGGCAAGUCUUCAAUAUAACGAUAUUGUUAUCAAACUUCUUGUUCCACUGUGGGAAACAGAAGUAAAAUAUAAAAAAAUUCUAAUGUGGAACCAAUUAAUGGAGGAGACAAAAAGAAAGUAGAGAGAGGAGAAACCCAUUUAAGGGUUAGUAUCAAUUGAUCCUUCGGAUCCAGACAGAAAGGUUUGGAGAUGAUCCGAGAUUCGAAAUAUUAUAUUCUAUUGUAGAACUAAAUUAUAAUUUUAUUUUCUUAUACAACACAACAAUAUAUCUACUUUAAGAAAAGUUAAAGAGAAUAAAUUUGAUUACAAACUCAUUAUUUUCAACAUUUGAAUAUAAGAUUACGUAUGUACAAAUGAAGAUGGAUAACACAAUACUGUAAUAGUAAGUGAAACUAAGGUAUUAUGAUCAUAGCUUCCCUAGUUCACAUACUUAAAUGCAAAUACUAUUUGCACAUUUCAUUUUUAGCCAUUAGAUAUAUCUCAACGGCUAGCGUUAAAAGUUGAACUAACUAGCUAGCUUUGAUAUGAAUUGAAUAAUUAAUGUACUAGAUAGUAGGAUUGUUCGAUCCGUUCGAAAUUUUUUGUCAAGGGUCGAACUACUUACGAUGUACCUUUAAUUUAAAUCAAUUAGUUGUUGUCUAUAAUGACAUUAAUAUAUUGAUCUUAUCAUUAAAUGGAGGAUGCGAGUGGUAGAAUUAAUAGGCAAAAUUGUAGUUAACUUGUUAGUAUGUAAGAGAUACUGAUUCUAUGUUUUCAUACUAAAAAGUACCAUAAUAUAUAUAUGGAGAGGCGAGGAGUACUUAGAGACUAAUUAGUGGUAAUGGAGUGGGCUGAUUAAUAGUAUCGUAGGCACGUGAUACUAAUUAACAAGUUAUUCUGGAAGGAUUAAACCCCAAUUAAGCAGAUUAAAAAAAAAAAAAUAGGCACUACCCACUGGUGCGAUUGGGCACACUGGCAGGUAGCAAUGGAAGGAGCUCACCAAUAUUGGACAUGUGAGCUGAGUACACGUAGGUGUUGUAUAUAUUUGUCUGCAUUGGCUCUGUCCACCUUUUCCUUGCCCUGCCCGUCAUGUGCCACUGUAACCCUACUUUCUCUACCUUGAAUAGUUUCACUGUUGAAUUUGAUUAACUGCAAGUCGUGGCCUGAUUGAUUCACUUUAAGUUACAAACUGUAACUUACUAUUAACAAAUAAUGAGUCCUUACACCCGCCAUUCAUAUACAGAAGAAGGAAUGUAAUGAAACUAAUGUCUUUGGAGCUGCAUGCUUUUUAAUUUGUCAAGAAUUCAGAGAAAACUAGCAUUGAUAGUUCUAAGCCAAUAGAUGGUACUCGCAUACACUCAACUGAAUGAAUGGUCAAUCUCUGAUAAUUUGAGGCUACACGGUUUUUUAUAUGUUUGCUACAUACGAUAUUAGGAAAGAGGGUUGGGUAAACACUCACAAUUGGUCAACAGUAAUUUAUGAUCGAACCUGCAAUUUGUGAGAAUCGCACAUAAAACAUCUCACUUACAUAUGUAGAGAAUACCUUAGAUAGCAAUCGUAUUGUUGAAAAUAGAAAUUAUACCAUUUGAAAAGCAUUUUAAUUUUUAGUUUCUAACUUUUUAAAAUUUGAAAAUUGAAAGCUAAAUUUUAAAAACUCAAAAAAAAUUCUUUUUAAGAUUUGGUUUUCAAUCUUAAAGAAAAUAUGAAAAAAAAAUUUAAAAACGAAACAGUUACUACACAAUCAUUUUUUUUUUUGGUUUUCAAUCUAAAUAAAGUAAAAAUAAAAACUAAAGCCAAAAUAAUUAUCAAAUGAGACUCUCUUAAGGUUUGUUUGGAAUUGCUUCUUUAAAAAAUAUUAGUAGAAGCACAUUGUGUAAUACAAGUAUAUCAUAUUGUGGUUAUUAAAAUACAAGUAUAUCCUAGAAAACAACUCUUAAAUUAGGGUAAAUUAUACAAAAUUACCUCAACGAUUAGGCCAAUCACAGUUUUAUACCUCAUCUUUAAAACAUUUCAAUAUCAUACCUUAUCUUCGAAUUUAUUGCAAUGUCAUACCUUCCGUCAGUUUGUCUGUCAAUUCCUACGUUAAAUGUUGACGUUGACACACUCCGACCCUAAAAUCAGGGCGUGUUGGCCGUCACGUGGGCGUGACGUAACCAAAAGUGUGACGCGGAAGCAAAAAGGUAAAAGAAAUACGAAGGAAUAAAAACCAACUACUAGCAAUAAUACCCAAUUAACAUGCUAGAGUAAGUUUAAGUGUGGAACACACAUAAUCAGAGCAUAAGCACUAGGUGCAGUCAAGUAAGACCAUUCCUAAAUUACAACACCCAAAGGUGAGUCCUACAUUUAAGUAAUCUGUCAGAACGCCGUGGGAAUCCUCGUGAGCCACCAACACUGCUAACUAGAACCUGGAGGGGCGCAAAACAAGAUUGAGUGGGUCAGUAAAACAAAAUUUUUCGAAAAUAUUUCAAUUAAUAACACUUCUAACCCCUAGUUGUAAAACCUGUAUACUUUCCCAGAAAAAUAGUAUAUAUAUAACCAUAUAUAACAACAAAUAACUCAAAUCACAAGUCUUUAACACUUUUCAGGAAAAUAUGCCAUGCUAUGCUUCAAAACAUAAUAAGGAUGCAUCAAUAUAACAGAUGAAAUAAGGAAUCAACCGAAGACUCUGCAGCUGUCCUAUACGGCUAAUUAUAUAGCUCAAUAUUCAAUCCAGCCGGAGUCACCAACUGUGACCUGUACGGCACUACUCUGCACACAAAUCGAAACUACCUAAAGUAGUAUGUAUAACAAGAAUGGUGUAAGAAUACGCUCUAGUGCUUCUCUCAUCAACAACUGUAUAAUAAUCUAAAGUCACCUACAAGUCGGAACCACCUCUAAUGGUCUGUACGACAUGCCGGAACCACCUUUAAUGGUCUAUACGACAUGCACCUACUUGGAUCCAAGGUGAGCGUGUGGUGCGGGGUGAAUAAUAUAAGCACUAACACCAGGGGUGCAAGUUAUGAGCUCUCAACAUAAAUCACAUGAACAACAUAAAACUCAGCUGAUACUCACAUGUGCGUCCACAUCACCAUUUAACAUAUAUGCAUCAAAUACUAGUUCAUAUAUUUUAUAUAAUAUGCAUGCAUGGCAUUUGAAAACAUACUUUCAUUUAAAUUCAAUUUUUGGGAAAAAUCAGUAGUAUAUAGGUAUAUACAGAAAAUAAAUGCCCACUCACUGGUAAGUUGAAUGGUCAUAACCCCCGUGACGUCCUUGAAUGCGCUCGUCCUCGGGAUAGGUAUCACCUAUAUGCGAAACAACUAUAAAAACGUUAUUUUAAAGCAUAUAACCGACAAUACGUAAUAACUUCUCAUACGAUGCUCAAUUUGGGUAUAUGAAUAUACCACAGUGACCUACUCGACGUCACGGACAUCGAGAUAUUUUUAGAAUAAUUUUUCAACGCCGCACGCGCCCCCACGCCCGUCAUCCCCUACCUCCAGACGCCGGAAAAUCUCGCCAGCGCCGGAAACUGGGCAGACCUGCAAUCGCCCUUUUCUCGCUCGAUUUUGCACCAUUUUCCACGAAAUUUUCACCAAAACUUCACAAAUUUCAAGAGAAAGAAGGCUAUACCUUUUUAAACUUCCAAAUCCUUCGAAAACUCGUCUGGAAAUUUCUACCAAAACCAGCCACCUUCGAACCUUGUGAUCCCAAUGUCCAAAACCUUCAAACGAACGUCCCCGAGCUUCGUGGGAACCUCCUAGAGCUCACUAUGAGCUUGGAUUGUCCUAAAAACCAACCAUUCAAAAGUUCAUGAAUAGUGUUCAACUCGGAGCUUGAGUUUUCAACGUGAUAACGAACGAUUCCUUACCCAAAAUGGGUACCAGAGAGUUCGUGUGGUCUCCAGGAGCACGAUGGUGGUCUCAAACACGACGAUCCGUGAAGUUUUGAUGGUCUUUGGGUGUGGUCCGUACUAGUUCGAAGGGAGAGAGAGAAUGGACUGAGAGAAAGGAGAGAGAGAACGUGUGGGAGAGAGAGAGAAAUCUGAUUGGGUAUGUGUGGUCCUCCUAAGUCCCUAACCACACAAAAAACACACAAUUUAAUCCAACUUAAUUUGUUUUUCCAAGAAUUUAGGAAGGUAUGUAAUAUUCGAAUAAACAUGUCACACAUACCUUAGCAACCUUUAAGGGCAAUUCCGUCAAUUCACAUCAACGAUAAAUACAAAUUUCGGGACGGGCUGUGACAGACAGGGCCCAAUCCUUAUUAAAAAAUUAAUUAAUUAUUAGGGUAAAUUACAUUUUACUCCUUCAAGUUUGGGUACAAUUGCAACUUCAUACAACAUCUUUAAAACAUUUCAAUCUCAAUCAGAAACUUGUAUUUAAUUCCAAUUUCAUACAUUCGUUAAUCAAACCGUCAGUUUGACCGUUAAUAAAGAUGUGUCAAGUGCAUGUCCCAUUCUUUUGCGGAUGUGGCAGUCAAUAGUAUGUCAUAUAGGAUAGAAAAGUAAUUUUAUUUAGAAAUGUUAAUCUAAGAUCAUCUCCAAUCCUCAGGUUAAAAUCUAAAAUUUUUAGCCUGGAAAUAAUUUUUCUCCUCCAACAUUUCUGAGUUAAAUAUUUAGCCCGAUAUUAUUAAAGACUGAAUUUAGGAUAAUUUCUUUCUUAAAGUAACUUUUUUUUCUAAAAAAAAAUAAAUUAGGUAGAUUAUCCUAUUUAAUUUUAUGAACACUUUAACCUAAAAAUAUUUAGAUUCCGAUAAAUAUUGAAAAAUCACUAAACUGACAUCAUGAAACUCGUGAAACACUACAACAUAAUUUUUUUUUUAAUUACUUUAGCCGUUAGAUUUAAAUUUGGACUGUUAUAUAUUCUUUUUUACCGUUGAAUUUGAUCAAAUUAGAUAUUAAUUGUUGGAUUCAAUUCAUUUAUAAAUAUGAAACUAAAAAAACUAUACUAGCCCUACUAACCAAGGGAAUCAUGGGCUAAAUUUUCCAAAAAUGAGUUUUCUGUUUUAACUCAUAUUUGCUCCAAGGCUUGAAGCAAGUUGGGAUAAGUUUAGAACCUAAAAUUUAAUUUGUUUUCAAAUAAUAGUGGGCCCACCCCUUACCUCUACACUUAUCUUCAACCUCUCUCCAUCAACCCUUCCCCCCUUCAGUCAUAGUCGUAACCCUUCAUCUAGCCACACCUGUAACAUCCCACAUCUCUCAGGGGAGUGGAUCAUGUAAGCCUUAUAUGUAUAUUCUCAUCUCUACUUAGCACGAGGCCUUUUGGGAGCUCACUGGCUUCGGGUUCCAUCGGAACUCCGAAGUUAAGCGAGUUCAUGUCCCAUGAUGGGUGACCCACUGAGUAGUUUUCGUGUGAGUUCCCAGAAACAAAACCGUAAGGGCAUGAUCAGGGCCCAAAGCGGACAAUAUCGUGCUACGGCGAAGUUGAGUCCGGGAUGUGGUAGGGGCCCGGGCCGGGAUGUGACAAUUUAGUAUCAUAGCUAAUCCUUGGCCGGAAGUGUGCCGACGAGGACGUCGGGCCCCUAAGGGGGGUGUAUUGUAACAUCCCACAUCACCCAAGGGACUGGAUCCUGUAAGCAUUAUAUGUAUAUUUUUAUCUCUACCUAGCACGAGGCUUUUUGGGAGCUCAAUGGCUUCGGGUUCCAUCAAAACUUUGAAGUUAAGCGAGUUCGCGUGAGAGUAAUCCCAUGAUGGGUGACCCACUGGGAAGUUCUCGUGUGAAUUCCCAAAAACAAAACCGUGAGGGCGUGGUCGGGGCCCAAAGUUAACAAUAUUAUGCUACGACGAAGUCGAGCUUGGGAUGUGGUGGGGACCUGGGCCGGGAUGUGACAACACCUUCAUCUCCCUCCCCGUCACUACCAAGUCAUCAUCAAUAUGCCCAGCCGUCUUUCCUUUAGAUGUGGUGGAGGAGGACAAAACCUACGAACCAAGCUUGUCCAGACCCACCCCAACCUUAUCCCUUACUUUGAACCCGUUGUCGAGCACGACUCCUACUUUCGAUUGCUCACCAAAUCCAAACAAAAAGAAGGAAAUUAAAAAUGGAGUUCCUAUAAAUCUUGAGCUUUUGUCAUAGUUUUCCAUGCCUAGUCCUACUUAUUGCCCAAAUGAAAAUCCAUCGUUAUACCAAAAAACAAUUGCAAACAAAUUCCUCAAUUUCAAGAAAUUCUUCAUAACAUCAAACACAAAAUACACAUACUAUCUACUUAGAUCCUCCUAAUCAAUCAAGCAAUUAGAUUCUCAAAAAUAUUCUUAUCAAGAAAAUAUUAGUAUCCGGAGGCAGUGGGUUUCAUACGAAUUGGGUCAAAACCCGCGGAAUCGCCGAGUCGAACUCGACGGCGAAUUAAUAUCCAAGAAAACACAUUUUUUGGGUUAGUAUUUUGCAACGGCAACUAGUGGUUCGAGUUAUGGAGUGACCCUGAGUUAUUGUCAUUGGAAUCAGAGUGAAAAUGGAGAUGAAGACCCCGAGUUUGAUUUGAGUGAGUGGCGCGACGGCGACAACUUGGUCUCACCUCUUCUGGAUGACGGGAGGUUAAGAUGGAGAAAGGGCGGCGAGCUUGGAUUUAUUGUGACGGUGGCUCCAUGGCAGAAAGAAGAAAGGCAAUGUAGGGCUGCAGUAGGAGUCGAAGAGAGAAGGCAGAGGGUUUUUCAAAUUUUAAAUACAUUAUUAAAUAAUUAAACAUUUCAUUUAAUUCAUUUUUGACACAUGGCAUAUGAUAGAUGAUUGUAAUUUGCCAUAUCAUUAUUUAACAGUCAAACUGACAGUUUGACUAAUAGAUGUAUGAAAUCGCAACUAAAUACAAGUUUGUGUAUGAAAUUGAAAUGUUAUGAAGAUGUAGUUGCACCUAAACUUGAGGAGGUAAAUUGUAAUUUGAUUUAAAUAUUAAAUACUAAAAAAAACAUAUGGGACCCAUUCUUACCACCCAUCACCCUCACCUUUCCUCACCACCACCUCAUCCAUCCCUCAUCCCUUACCCCAUCCGUUCUUCCCCUCCUCCUUCAUUCGCCUUCCCCAUCUCUAUAUCCCUUUCAUCGAGACCUUUUACAACAGCAUCCUCGGUGUCAUCGUCAUUAUGGAAGGCGACACCACGGUGGGCACCAACACAUUGGGUCGAAUUAUGCAUGCUGAGGUCGAGGAUGGAGCCCACGCACACGACUUGGCCGAGUUGCUUCGUCGGCAGGGGAUCGAUUUCAAGUUGAUCUAAUAUUCGGAGUGGACUAGAUCCGGUUCGCGGAACUGAUGUUGUCUUCGGGGCUCGUCUGCAACAAUGUCGUUAACUGGGUAAAUAGGCAUAGGCAUCAUUGGAAAAUAGACAUCGUUGGCCUCGUCGGAAAAUAGACAUCGUCGGCCUCAUAAAUCGCAAUAGAUCUGAGGUGCUUUUCGGGUAGGAGUGGCGGUGGUUAGCCCAGCUAACCACAUACGUGAGUGAUAAGGUGAAGGUUAUUAACUACAUUGCAAAGAUAAAUGAUUGGUACAAAGAGGAAGAGGAAGAAGACAGAGAGAAGUAAGAGAGAUUUUAGAGAAAGAGUUUAGAGAGAAAUAAGUUUUGUAUUGACAUCCUGAAAUGAAGGUUACAAAUACUAUUUAUAAAGAAAUCCUAACUACUUUAACCAAAUACUAACUACCUAACUAUAUUACUAACUGUAUUACAUUUGUACCCUUAAUACUCCCCCUCAAUCUCAACUGGGGUAUCCCAGUGUGAGAUUGCAGUAGAUUCGCAAAUAGCAAACACCGAAAUAUGGAUAAAUGGUUCAGUUUUGACUCAACUGCAGUCUCCCACUAUGGUGCCACAACUGACAGUUCAAAGUUCUUCUUAACUGGUCUGGCCCUAACUUUUGCAGACUUCCAAAACAACAGAUGUAAUACAGCAUCAUUAUGUUUACAUAUGUCAUCAAUAAGUCUCUGAUCUUCACGUAGUUUUCUGUCAUACACAACUUCUUGUUCUUCUAGAUCAACAAACUCUUUACUUUUAACAAACACAACACGGCAAACUCUACAAUCCUUCAAGCUUCAAGCUUUCAGCAAUGGAGAACAAAUGAAUACCACUGGCAUUGCAUUAAGGUCAAUGCCGCUCUUGCACUCCUGAUCUUGAUUAGUUCCACUGAUCGUCUUAUUGCUUUCAUCAAAGUGCAUAUGAGAACUACUUUUCCUUGCUCUCUGGUUCUCCGGUUUCUCCUUCAAUUCUCGGGUUGGAUGAUUUCUCUUGUUCACGCACCUCAGAUUUGUUUUAAGCCAGCAAAGAACAACCCCCUGCAAACCAAGCCUUUCAACAGCUACAACUCUAAUCAACUAAUAUUUACAGAAAACAUGGCUUCGUGCCCACAAACUUCAAUCAACUAAUCUAUACAAAAAACAUGGCUUCGUGCCGCAAACUUCAAUCAACUAAUCUAUACAGAAAACAUGGCUUCGUGCCGCAAACAAACAGGAACUGGCUUCGUACCGCAAACAAACAAUAAUGGCUUUGUACCCAAAGAAACAAACUUGAAAUGACUUCGUGCCGCAAACAAGGAAUAAUGGCUCGUGCCUCAAAGAAAUCAAUCGAUUACUUCACAAAAUCAAAGAAACAUACACUUUUGCAGGGAAUUGGCAGCUCCACCAGAUCAUCAAAGUAGUGGAACAGAGAACAGAACAUGGAUCAAAUAACACCAGAGAAGCACAGAGAGCUGAUAUGCAAACAACACCAAGAAGAAACCAUAAUCCAAAAUCUGCAGAUCCAAGAAUGUAGAGCAUAUAUCACCUCAAAUCAGGAAUACCAGAUCCAGAAAAAAACUUAUCGGAAUAUAUUGUGCACAACCCAAGCGUAUGAGAUAUAUGCACAAUAUCACCUGAUACGAAUCAAAUCUUUGAACGCAACUCACGAACACUCUGUCGAACACCUUUGUAGCCCAACCCUGAUUAACAUCGCUCAGAUCCAAAGCUACGGGCCAAGAACACCGUGAAUCGAAAUCCGUCCGUCAAGAAACAGAUUCGAGUACCACACUUUUUCUCUCGGACUUUUCUUCGAACACCUUGUGAACAUGACUUAAGGUACUUACUUGCCGACUUUCUUAGCAAGAUUAUCGUAGAAGACGAGCGGUUUCUCAGUGUUGGAGACCUAAAUUCUGAGGAACACUCCAAGAUCGUCGAGCAGUGUGAGGCCGGUGCCAGGAUCGAGUUGCUCACUGCUGAUGAUCGGGCGACUGUGCUUCUCGUCGUCGCCGUCGAGAUGAAGAAAGUAUUCUGAAGAUGAAGGAAGAGGAGAGGAAAAAACCAGAGACCCAAAAGUAAAAAAAAAAAAAAAAAAACUAUGAAUACAGAAGUAUAAACGAUCAAAUACACGAAAACGAAAGAAAUUAAUGAAGAAAGAUAGAAGAAGAAUCGACCACCAAAAUCCAUGACGUGAGCCUUGGUGGCUCUGAUACCAUAUUAACUACAUUGCAAAGAUAAAGGAUUGGUACAGAGAUGAAGAGGAAGAAGACAGAGAGAAGCAAGAGAGAUUUUAGAGAAAGAGUUUAGAGAGAAAUAGGUUUUGUAUUGACAUCCUGAAAUGAAGGUUACAAAUACUAUUUAUAAAGAAAUCCUAACUACUAUAACCAAAUACUAACUACCUAAUUAUAUUACUAACUGUAUUACAUUUGUACCCUUAAUAAAGGUGGCAGCGGUGGUGUGGGUUUUUUUGUUUUUUGUUUUUUGUUUUUUAAGGAAGGAGGAGGGGGAGAAACGGAUGGGGUGGGGGAUGAGGGACGGAUGGGGUAGGGGUGGCGAAGGGUGAGGGUGAUAGGUGGUAAGAAUGGGUCCCGCAAUAAUUUUUUUUAGUUUUUAAUAUUUAAUUAAAUUUUUAAUAGGAGUAGGAUCCGCCUCAUGCCAUGUCAGCAUUUAAUAGAGAAAUUAACAGACAAACUGAUGGAAUGUAUAACAUUGCAACAAAUUCAAAGAUAAGGUAUGACAUUAAAUUGUUUUAAAGAUGGAGUAUAAAACUGUGAUUUUCCCAAUAAUUGAAGUAAUUUUGUGUAAUUUAGCUCUUAAAUUUUAAUUUUACUGUCAAAUAUGAUUAGAAAUGUCUUUAAUAUUUUAUAAAUCCUUUUAAAUAUUUUAAAAGUACUUUUAAUAUACCUAAAAGUACUAAUAAUUUCUGAUAAGUAUUAACUAUAUAUUAAGUCUUUAGAUGUUGAGAAAUUGACAAAGACCACAUGCAUUUAUGGCACUAGUUGGGGCAGUCAAAACAUAAGGUACUGUUUGGUAAGUGGGACGAGAUGAAACGAAGUUGGAUGAUGCGUUUCGUUUCACGUUUGGUGUGCCUAAAAUGGGUGGAACACGUUGUUCCAUGGGACAAGUUUUGUGGUAUUUUUCAUUUCGCCUCCUCCUGGAACCAGGGUAUAAAAAAUCAAUAAUAUCGGCGAUAUUUCGCCGAUAUUAUCGUUUUUUUCGGAGUCCGAUAUUUACACACACAUCCAAUAGGUUUUUGUCAAAAAAUCGAGAUAAUAUCGCGAUAUUAGCGAUAUUAUCGUGACAUUGCUUGAAAGUCGACGCCGACGCCGAUGGAGUAGACGGCGACGCCGACGGAGGAGAGGUGGAGGUCGCGGGACUCACUAUCCGAACCAAACAAUUCACCAGCCCUAUAAUUCAUCGCUGAACCCAAAACCCCCAACUUUUCCAAUCCAAUCAAGUUGAGCCACGAAGUCGGAUCCGCCAGAGUCCCUCAGCAACCAAUCUCUCAGCCUGCUUCACAUUCACCCCUACAAUCCUCGUUUCUCUGAAGGGUUUCAAGCACUUCUCCUUCGCGAACCCGCCGCACUUCUCUUUCGUCGCCGUCAAACACCCCUCCAUUUCUCUCUCCUUGCACUGUUCUCUCUGCUUCAAGUCAUUCAAGUCUGUGACUUUCUGGCCAAUCAGAGCUCGCCACCACGGGGGCUUACACUUUUCCGAUGCGCUAAUGGCUCACGCGAUCCUGGCACCGGCCUCGCACUGCUCGACGAUCUUGGACUCGCAGGCUCUGUACGCGUUUGCCCAAGCUUUUGGGUCGCGAAACACCAGGACGUAGAGGUUGCGGGAUGAGCAGAGGGAGACGUGGACGAGGAGGAUCACGCCGAUUGAUCGAGAGAUGAUGUCUCUGUGUGUGUGUGGGAGAACUAGAGAAGGGAGAAGGGAAGGGAGAAAACUCAGAAGAGAGAAGGAAUGGAGAAGAAUCGAGAACUCAGAAGAGAGCGAAGGAAGGAUCGAGAGACUGAGCUCAGUCUCUGUGUGCGUGUGUGGUGUGGGGGGUCUCGAAUUUCGAUCUCUGUGUGUGUGGUGGCGUGUGAGAAAAAAAAAGAAUCCAAUGAUCCAAAUAAUUCAAAACCUGUCUCUAGCUCUCUGAUCCAAUGAUCCAAAUAUUGUACUAAAGUAUAAAGUGUAAAAUAUUGUACUAAUUCAUUAUAUAUAAAUGAUUAUGGUGUGUUUAGACUUCUUUCAUUAAUUACUACAUAUUUUCUACACUCACAAUGUUUGUCAGCUCGCUAUAUAAUCAACUUGAUAAUGUUAAAUCCAUCAUGCAAUGCAUUUCUUUCCAAUUUUUUGUGAUAAACUAAUAGAUAAUUGACUAAAUAAACAUCCUACAAAGUUUCAAUAAAAAUUUCCAAGUUUUUCUUACAAUUUCCGUGGUUUCCAUGUAAUUUUUAUCGAUAUCGAUAUUAUCCCGAUAUUUCCAUCGAUAUUUCCGUGUUUUCGAACUACCGAUAUUUCCGAUAUUACCGAUAUUUUCUUCCUUGCCUGGAACGACUUGUUCCAUGUCUGUGGAACACAAAUUUAUAACAUUUUAAGACAAAAACACCUUUUGUCUUUUUCAAUAUUUACAUCGUCCAAAUCCUAAAAACAAACCCUAAAUCCAUCCUCUGCCGCUGCUCUCUCUUCCCAUAUACUUCCUCCUCAUUCUUCUUCCUCAUCCUCUUCCGUUGUCGUCGACUGCACCCAGCCAACACGCAGCAGCACGGAGCCACUAUCUCUUCUUCUCGCUUGGGAGUUAUUUUUUAGGAAGAAAAGUCUAUAUGUUUCUUAGAUUAUAUGUAGGCGAGUAGCUAGUGUGUAUGAAAAAUGAAAUGAUGUUGAUCUUAUGAUGACAUGAUGUGAGUGCUCCGAAGAAUAAAAUCUUCCCUCCUAAAGGAACAAAUAAGAAUAAAACUAUCUCCAUCAGUCAAUUAUGGACACAUUAAAUAAUAAUAUUUAACAUGUACAUCUUGAGCUAAAAUCAUCUUACAAAAUUAAUCUUAAAGAACCUAACAAAAUUAAUCUUAAAGAACCUUACAAAAUUAAUCUUAAGGUGACAGCCAAAAUAAAUGGUUACGAUGAUAUACUACUCUUCACCCUUUGAGAUUAAUUUUACAAAAAAUCAAUUAAAUGAGUAAUAAUUUUAAUCAUUGAUUAGCGUUGUUAAAAUCUCAUUGUUUAGCUAAAUAAUAUAAUUUUUAAGGGAUGACCUCGAAAAUAUAAAAUUUAGAUCAUGCAUAUAACAUUGCAUAAUGAAAAACGAACUAAAAACAUAAAACCAAGAAGGUUACUAAGGAAAUCUAGCUAUUAAUUGUCUCUACCCUAAUAUUGAAAAGCAAAGAUCAGCCUUUUCUUCCAUGUGAAUAAAGCAUCUAUCACUUUCAAAGUUUCCAAUAUAUACCCACCCAACACAUUGCCAAGUAUCUCGAUCCUAACACAUGAAUGAACUCUGCAUGUUGUCACGAAGCUAACACAAUUUGCGCCAACGUGGCUUGCUGAAUUGUCAUUUGCGAUCCCUUCGUGGCUGGAUGACAAAGCACCACCUGUCUUGGACAAUGGUUCUUGCACAACCUUCAUGCAGCAGUCACACUCCCCACGCGAAGGCCUUGUGCAUAAAAGAGUUUAGCAUGCACCUUAUUCUCGUCCCUCGAUGUAUAUAUGAACUGACCUUCACAAUCUAAGUUAUCAUCAUUUGGACUCAAUCUAACUCUUUCUUUUUUUCACUUCCUUGAUAAAAAAACAAAAAAUGUGUCCCGUUUCAAAUAUUAGCAUUGCCUCGUGGUGCAAGAAGCAUGAAAAUGGAGAUGGUAGAGUCACUGCCAAAUUCGAGGAUCUUUCACCGGUAACAUGCUCAGAAGGGGACGGGGACGAUGACGAUGACGAUGAUGAUGAUGGCGACUAUGAUUUUGCUCCGGCUGCAUAAGUAUAGAUAGACUAGUACUACUUGUUAUUAACUUAAUUAGCAUAGCUAGAGUUAGCUCAAGUUUUGUAAUGAAGACUAUUAUAUUCUAUGGUCAGUGGUCACAUAUAUAAUAAUAUAGUAAACCUAAUUAUAAAUAAUUAGUAUUCACAGGGCUCUUUUCCUUCUGAUGUCAUCUUCAUCUACAUGUUCGUCCUGCGACAGGUGACCUAAUGUGUGUAUGUCAGGGUGGCCUUGCAAAAUACGUACUAUGUACGCAGCCAGAAAAAGGAAAAACCUAAUAACAUUAUUUAUUUCUAAUAUCAUUUAUUAAUCGUCUUUGAAAUUUGAAAGCAAAUUUGGUUGAUAAAUGAUGAGUCUAUCAAUUCUAUUAACUUAUAAAGUCUAAAACUGAGUUUUGUAAAAGGAAUAACAACAGGUCAAAUGAUUAAAUUUCUUGAAUUUCAUUUUCAAGGAUUAGUAUUGAAUAAUCUUGCCUUCAUAUGGUAUUAGUAUGCAGCCUCAAGUGGUAGCAAGUCGUCCAAUGGAAUAUUAAUAAUUGAGAAGAUACAAAAAAUAUUAUUCUCUUGUGGAACCAGAUAAUUAAGAGCAUAGUUCAGACUUUUUUUGUUGUAAUUAAAGUCAAAAUAUCGGUCAAUUUGAUAACUAUUUUAUUUUUUAUUUUUAAAUUUUAUUUGUUCUUAGAGAUGGAGGAAAAGUAUAUGAUAUAAGUGAGCAAUGUAAAAGGAUGAUGCGAUCAUGGGAAGAAGGAACGAAAGAGAAAACGAAAAGUGAAAUCAAAUUCAAAUCGCUUUUGGUUUUUUAUUUUCAUUUGUGUGUGGAUCUAAUAUAUUGUGAUAAGAAAGUUCUCUUAGGGCUGGUUUGGUAUUGCUGUACUUUGAAAAAAAACUGCUGUGAGGAUAAGUAGCUGUGCUAUGAGAAUAACCGGUCCUGAAAUAAAUUAGCAGAGUGUUCGGUAAACCUUUUUGUAAAAGUGCUUUUGAAAAAAAAAAGAAAUCUGAUAGUGGGUCUUUUCAUUAAAAGAGCACUGUAGCUCCAUGUGCUUUGAAAAAAAACCAGUUUUCCAAAGCUGCAAAUAGCAGUUUUGGCUUUUUCCUUUGAUUUCAGCUUAUUCUCACAGCAGCUUCCAAAAUAAGCUUUUUUUUUUCAGUUUACCAAACACCUAAAACUCUCACAGCUUUUUUUCAUGGGUGCUUUUUUUUAAUCACCUCACUCCCAAACCACCCCUUAGUUCAGCCAGUAAAAUGUGGGUUUCCAAAACCCGAUGCUAUAGUUUCAAUUUAUAAGCGUGAUUAUGUCCUAUAGACAAAAGCUGGUAAGCAUGGUAACUGUAUCGGUAGCCAGGGCUGCCAAAGAAACUAGCAUAGCGAAAAUAUGCUCUGACUAGCAAAAUAAAAAUAAAAAAAUUAACGAAAUGAUUAUCAAAUAAAAUAGGAUCAUAGAUCGGAGCAAUGAAAUUUUAAGAACAUCUAAUCAUUUAUUACAAUCCAAUUCGACCUAGGUUUUCUCUUUGUAACCGUUUUCUCAUCUAAACCCAAUAAUAAAGGCAUUAUCAAACUUUGCAACAUAAUGUACAUCUGUCUCAUUCCUGGGUGAGAGGGAUAGCCAACAAUAAACUCAUGGACAAUUCUAGUAACGAUAAUACUUGCAUUCUUACUUUGAAGAGCAAGUCCACCGGAGUAGACAUUACCUAGCACUCAGUCCAAAAAACAGCCCAGCACUCUGUCCAUUACCUCCAGUCGGCGCAACAGCCUGGGGCCCAGCCCAUGCUGGUCUCUGGGCUAGCUCAAAACUGACUGACCAAGAAACUAGGCAAGUGGCCACGUGGCAACUCCUUGGCUCUUGGAUUUGAAUAAUUUUCAAAUCCAACGGUUUAUAUUAAUUAACUAUAUUAAAAAUUAUUAAAAAAUACAGAAAAAUUAUUAAAAAAAUACAGAAAUUUUUUAAAAAUGUUAAUUUUUUUCUGUAAAUAAUAAAGUUUGUGGUUGAAGAAUAAAGUGUAUUAGAUGAGUUUAUGUAAUUUCAUUUUAGUGUGUUUUUUUUUAUAGUUCAUUUGAUGAGUUUAUAUAAUUUUAUUUUAGUGUGUUUUUUUUAAGUUUAUUUGAUGAGUAUGUAAUUUUAUUUUACUGUGUAUUUUUUUUAAGUUUAUUUGAAAUUUUAUCCGAAAUUGGUUAAAAAUCUUAUCCGAAAUAAACUUAAAAAAAAAAAAAACACACCAAAUAAAUGCAUUGGGUGCCAACGUAUUUUUUUAGGGGUGGAGAUGCCUUGGCCUAUUACUGUUCACUUGAGUAGAUAAAUGCGCUGGGUGCUAGCGCAAAGUCCUUAGAGCAAGUCCACCCCUAAGGACUUUGCGCUAGCACCCAGCGCAUUUAUCCACUCAAAUGAACAGUAACAGACUCCAAUGAACAUUAAUAGGCCAAGGCAUCUCCACCCCUAAAAAAAUGCGCUGGCACCUAGUGAAAAAAUGCGCUGGGACAAACGAUCUCCAUCCCUACAAAAUGGGCUGGCACCCAGCCCAUUUAAAAUAUUUUUAAAUUUUUUCUAAAAGAAUAAAAAAAUAAAUUAGUUUUAAUUUCGGAUAGGAUUUUUAACCAAUCUCGUCACACCACGUGUCAUUAUCUGAACGUACUAUUUUGUGAAUAGAUUUCCGCUAAGAUUUUCAACAAAUCCCGACACGCCACGUGUCACUUCCGUUUUACAAUAAUUUAGCCAAGAUUUCGAUAAGAUUUUCAACCAAUCACGUCAUGUCACGUGUCAUUAUCCGAACGUACUAUUUUGUGGAUAUAUUUCCGAUAAUAUUUUCGACCAAUCCCGACACGCCACGUGUCACUUCCGGUUUACAAUAAUUUAGCCAAGAUUUCGAUAAGAUUUUCAACCAAUCACGUAGUGCCACGUGGCAUUGUCCAGAACCUCAUCCUUUCUUUUUUUUUGUCCAUAUAAACCCUACAUCCCUAUAUCCAUCCUCACACCAAGCUCAAUCCUUCUUUUUAGCUCAGAAUCCUUGUUCAUCGUUUUCAAAUCUUGAGUUCUUAUUACAAUGUCUUCUUCAAGAAGGGUGUAUAAACAGUUGCAGGGGCAACAACAAAGGUUGUUGGCUCAACAGGCAAAAUUGGCCAAUCUCGAGGAAGGUGGAGGUGGAGAUGAGGCUUUCUUCAUGGAGGAGGAUGAGGAUGAUCACCAUAGAAGGCAGAAGGCCUCACAUUCCCGCCGUGUCAUGGAAGUCGUGGGUCAGAUAGCCAAACCAAGACGUGUUGCAAAUCUUGAUAGAAAAAGGGAAAAACGAGGUAAAAAUCUAUUGGAAGAUUAUUUUAUUCCCAAUAGCAUAUUCCCUUAUCAUAUUUUCAGACGUCGUUUUAGAAUGCAAAGAAAUUUGUUCAAUAAAAUCAUGAGUGAUAUUUGCAACCAUGAUCCAUACUUUGUGCAAAAAGAUGAUGUUUUUCAUGUUCUAGGUCUUGUCCCACUACGGAGGUUAAUGGAAGCAUGAGAGAUGGCGUUUUUCCAACAAGUAAAGGAUGCGUUGAGUUUUUUCCAAUGACCUUGAAGACCUUGACUAGUUCUGGCGUUUUCUCCAUGUACAUCGCAAAACGCUUUCGUAAUUUUACUCCACAUUUCUCGCUUAUCCAUCUGAUUACUCAUAAUCGGGUCAUGAGUAGUGUGAACCCAACAUUCACACAACGUAACAUCUUCAAUGAGCUUCCACGAAGACAUUUUUUUCUCUUAAAGUGUAGAAAAUAUUGAAAUGUAGAUAGUAUAGAAAGUGUAGAAAAUAUUAAAAUGUGGUGUAAAGGUAGAAGAUGAGGGUUAGGUAUUUAUAGGAAAAAAAUUAACAUUUUUCAAAAUUUUUUGUAUUUUUUAAUAAUUUUUCUGUAUUUUUUAAUAAUUUUUAAUGAAUUUUAAUAUAGUUAAUUAAUCUGGACCGUUGGAUUUGAAAAAUAUUCAAAUCCAAGAGCUAGGGAGUUGCCAUGUGGCCAACGGUCAUAUUUAUGACCGUUGGGCUUUUUUUUUUAUUUACUUUUUGUGAAAAAAACCUGGACCGUUGAUCUUUGAUCCAACGGUCUAUUUUAAAAGUAAAAUUUAAUUUUUUUUUUUACCGUUGGAAAUCCAACGGUCUAGAAAACUAGCCGUUGGAAAUCCAACGGCAUAAAGGAAGCUACGUCGCCAACUCGGGGAGGGGGGACUGAGUGCGCCUGCACGCGGGCCCGUGCUCUGAAACCUUGUCGGGCACUCACGCCACGACUGCGUGAAGCGCACGUGCCAGGCCAACUGCCCGGCUUCUGUCUCAGUCUCUUUUGGGCUGGUCCAGAGCCCAGCUCGAGCUAGGUACCAGUCAAAUGAAGGGGUGGACUUGAUUGACAGGGUGCUGGCCCUGUUUUUGUGGUGGGUCCUGGGCAAAGUCCACUCCGGUGGACUUGCUCUUAGGGGUGGGCUUGCUCGAAGGAUGAGCUCAUUAUUCAUUAAGCAAAGAAUGUAUAUUCAUCAUUCAAAUUUCAUAAUCGGAAUUAUUCAAAUUCUUAAUCUUCAUUUAAACCGCUAUAAGAUCAUUUGAAUUAGAGAUCAUUUAAUCGUUGAAAUGUAUAGAACAAAUCAACGGUGUAGAUAUCAAGUAAUACAUUCAUAAUGAACCGUUCAUUUAUUUGAUACGUUUGGAUGAUUAAACGAUUUUCGAUUCAAAUGAUUUUUUGUAUGAGUGACCUUAAAAUGAUGAUUAAGAAAUUGAAUGAUUUCAAUCAUUGAAUUUAUAUACUCAAAAUAUGUUAUUUGCAAAUGUAAGAAUAUGCGCAUCCCUUCAUGGGGAUGCAAGUACUAUCCUUUCAUUAAUCUCAAGAGUAACCUACACUUACCAUAUUUUUCAUGCCACAUUUGUACCACAUUUCUAAUAGAAGCAUGACUCACUAAUACAUGUGAAUUUCAUCUUUUUUAAAAUGUGAUACAAAUUUGACAUUAAAAUAUAAUAAAAGUAACACUUUUGUAUCUAAAUUUGAACUGCAUCUAUCCUGACACCCUCACCUUUUUAACCCUGCUUUUUAUUAAAACCUAAUGAUUUUUCUCCAAUUUCUACAUACCAAACUACAAAUACAAAUAUAACACUAAAAGAACAGUGAAUUAUAUAGAUGCUAUUGAAACAAAUUGCAGAACCACAUCCUUAAAUAAAGGCCAUAAAAAAAAAAGUUGGUUAGUUGAAUUGGACAUCAACGGACCUAAAUAGAUAAGCAAAGCAUCUAGGAUUAAACCUAAUAAUUGAUUAGGAUAAUGGUCUUAUAUAUACUUAACCCUUAUAUUAAACAAGUAGAAGAUGAAACACUCCAAGUUAGAAAAAGAAAAAUAAAUCCCAUGCGAAACCUCUAAAUUCAACCUUGGAUGUCUUUAGUUUGUAGGUGAAGAUAAUGUAGUAGACUCUGCAAUUCUGUGCUGGUUUCUUUCCUCCUUCCUUCCUCUUUCCCUUACCCUUGGUAGAAACUCAGUUUUCCGAUUGAUCAUGACAUUUUCUCUUAAGGCAGAUUUCUCCGAAUAUUCAAUCUUUGCCGUCCAGUAUUCAGAUCGUGUGGCCUGGCCUCAGUGGUUUUUCACUGGAAACUACCUUGCUUUUCUUCAAAAAGCGGCUUCCACUUUUACACUGUUCUAUUACUAUGUCGGAAGGGUUAGGUCAUCUCCAAUCGAAUGGUCCAGAGGGCCAGAGGGUCGAAAAUCGUAUCCAACCGAGGGUUAAGCCAGAGGGCUGUGGAAUAUGAGAGGGCCCCAUGGAAUCAGAAAGGGCUGGCUGCAUGCAGCCUACUACCCAGCCCGGGGUUGGCUAGAAAAAAUGAAAAUCCAGUUCUAACUGACAUGAAUACGUUCAUAUUAUUUAGUAUAAAUGUAUUAUUGUCAGUUAUACUAAAUAAGAUGAACGUAUUCAUGUCGAUUAGAACCGACAUGAAUGCUUUGAUUUUUUUUAACAGUUUUAUUUUUUUUUAUUUACAAAAUUUUUCCUAUAAUUUAUAUUUUUCAUAUUUUUUUUUCCUAUAACUUUUAUUUUACAAAAUUUGUUUCAUAUAUUUUUUUUUAAAUUCCAUUUUUUUCCUAUAACUUCUAUUUCACAAAACUUGUUUCAUUUUAUUUUAAAUUCUAUUUUUUUCCUAUAACUUCUAUUUCACAAAAUUUGUUUCAUAUAUAUUUUUUUUAAUUUGAUUUUUUUCCUAUAACUUCCUAAGCCAUUAUACAACAUUAAUUUAAAUUAAGUAACAUUAAACAACAUUAAACAAUAUGAAACAACAUUAAAUAAUAUUAACCAACAUAAAACUUAAACAAAAUUUAAGUUGUAGUCUUCAAAUAAUAAAUUAUGUUUGGCCCUCGGUUGGAUACGGUUUUUUGUGACAGGGCUAAAACGAGUCAUCUGGCCCUUUGGCCUUCUGUUGGAGACAGAGACAAAUAUGGUCAUGUAAUAUUCAUUAAAAUAUUAAUAUCUUGGAGGGCCAGAGAGCUAAAACAAGUCCUCUGGCCAGCCCUCGGUUGAAGAUGGCCUUACGGGACGACUAUUGUCUUGGUUGACUAAUGUGCUUUGCUUUUGAGAGGAGACUUCACUUGAGUAUCUCACUUAAAAUUCUAAAGAUGACCGUUAUAAUUUUUUUUGAAUAGGAGAUCAGAUAGUUAUUAAAAUAUAUAGUAUAAUUUAAUGGUAUAGAUAUAAAGUAACAUAUUCAUGAUUAACUGUUUAUUUAUUUAAUACGUUUGAAUGAUUAAAAGAUUUUCAAUUUGAAUAUUUUUUUGUACAGGUGAUCUUCAAAUGGUGAUUAAGAAAUUGAAUAGUUUCAAUUGCUAAGUUUAUACGAUCAAGAUAUGUUAUUUGUAAAUGUAGGAAUAUGUGCAUCCUUAAUGAGAAUGCAAGUAUUAUCCUUUCAUUAAUCUCAAGAGUAAAGCUAAAUUUGCCACAUUUGCAUCACUUAUUUAAUAAAGAUAGACUUUAUAAUUAACCAAUACAUAGAAAUCUCAUUUUUAUUAAAAAAAAAUAAUACAAAUAUAAUAUAAAAAUGUGGUAUAAGUAAUCUCAAUUUAGCUACAUCAAUCCAGACACCUUUUUGACUCCGAGGACUUUCAGUCCGACGUGCCGAUGGUAGAUAUUCGCUGGAAAGCGUGUGUAAGCUACCAGCCGCUUAGCAAUAAUUAUUUCUGCAAGCGCACUUUUCAAUCAACUCCUCAAAUCCCAUCCAUUGGUGUUCCUUUACACUGUUGCACGCGGCUUCAUCUUAAAAGCUGUUUUUCUCCGAAUCUUUUUCCGAAACUUCAAUGUUAGACGCGUUUAUUAAUCCGUAAUCAAAGAGGAGUUGAAUUGAAGAUGAAUUGGAUUGAAGAGAAAUUGAAAUAAGGUGGAAUCAGAAUCAGAUUCCUGUUAAAGUUGUUUACUAAAACUGUCUGGAAUCGGAGUAGAAAUGAUGUUGAGUCCAUAUGAGUUGCUUACUAAUUCAUUUCAAUCGGAAUGAAAACAAAGUUGAUUACUAAAUUGACCUUACAUAAAUAAAUUAUUUUCAAACUAAUUAAUUAAAUUAAAUUCUUAAUUAAAUUUAUAUAAUAAAAUUCAUCUAUAUAAAAAUAUAUAAAUAGGUUUUAUUUAUUUAUUAAAAGAUGGCAUAAUGAGUGUCAAAUGAAGGACAAUGUUAGGAUAAUAAGAAACAAGUGAGGGCAUAAUUGGUAGAAGAAAUCCAUUCCGGAUUCCUCAAGUGUCAAGGAAUUGAAAUACCUCCCUCAUGCAGGGAGUCAAAUUCCUCCAAAAUUAGGAGUUGGAUUCCUUAAUUCGUGUGGACCCCAUAUGUAUUUUGAUUCCCCAAGACUACGUAAACAAAGAUGUAUUCCGUAAUCGAAAUCCAAUUUUGUAAAUUGAUUUCGAUUACGGGUACGUAAACGUACUAUCAGUGAUCAGAUCGUGUGGCCACGGACAUCGUGGGUUUUCACUGGGAACGUUCUUGGUUUUCUUCAAAAAUUUGGGGCGGAUGCUUCUUGGAAAGAGCUAAAGAUUAGGAGCGGACACUUCCUGGAAAGAACCAAAAAGUGUCCCUUCAGUACUAUAUAUACUCUAAUUUGCAACACAAAAAAACCACUGCCAUCUUUUUUCCCUCGAUUGGAACCACUGUAGUGCAGUAAAAAGUAAUACCACCAUGACAUCCCAAGAACCCUCCUCCUCAAAACUCUGGAAGUACGACGUGUUUCUGAGUUUUAGAGGCGAAGAUACACGCAAUGGCUUCACAGGACACCUCCAUGUGGCAUUAAAAGACAGAGGCUACGAGGUCUUUAUUGACGACGGUCUGAAAAGAGGGAAACAAAUAAGAGAGGAACUGUUCCAAGCAAUCGAAGAUUCGAGGAUCUCUAUCAUUGUGUUCUCAAAGAGGUAUGCGGAUUCGAGUUGGUGUCUCGACGAGCUGGUCAAGAUCAUGGAGUGCAGAGAAAAACUGGAGCGAGUGGUUUUGCCAAUCUUUUAUGAUGUUGAACCUUCACUUGUGAGGAAGCAGGAGGGUUAUUUAGCCGAAGCAUUUCAGAAGCACGAAGACAGCAUCCGUGAAGAGAGAAAAGACAAGGAACGUGAAGCUAAGGAAGAAAGAGUACAGCAGUGGAGAAGGGCUCUUACUCAAGCUGCAGAAUUGUCCGGCCACCAUCUUCAAAACGGGUAAUCAUUUUCAUUAGACUUUGAAGUCAUUCAAUACUCGAUUAGUUUAAUACUACUGCUGCUAUCUAUUCGGCUUUUUCACAUUUUGAAACAUUUUAAUGAAUGGUUGUUAGGCAAAAUAGCACACAGGAAAAAUAGCUUCACUGAAACAUCAAGAUUUUCAAGAUAAAAUAUGGUUAAUGAUAGGGAGACUAUCUAUUUAAAACAUAUUUUUAGAAAUGCUUAAUUAAAUUUUAACUCCUAAUUUUAAAGUUGUUUUAAUCAAACAUCUGGGUUUUUAAGGAUUUUGAUUAUGACGCUUACGUACAUUAGGCCACAUUAGCAUUUUUCUAUUAUCAAAUUAAAACUAUUAUUAUAAUUUUCGAAAUUAUUAUUGAAAUUUCCUGCUAACUAAGGCCAUCUCCAACCGGUUGGCCAGAGGGCUCGUUUUAGCCCUCUGGCCCUCCAAGAUUCUCCAAGAUAUUAAUAUUUUAAGGGAAAUUUUAUUUAAACCCAUACAACCUUUUUUUACACCCAACUUAAAAUUUUGAAGGUUAAUUGUCUAUUUUAUCCUAUUGCACUAUUAAGUACAAAAUAAAAUUAAUAAUAAAACUCAAUUUAUCAAUAAACCCAAACAAUAUAAUUAAACCCUACAUUAACUUUAGCUUAGACUUACAGUUUGAGGCCACUGGGGUUUUUCCAGCAAAAAUAGUAUCUCUUCUAUAUGCUCUCGAUUCUUCCACAUGUUUUCGUCGACUGUAGCAGAGUCAAUUGCCCUAUUUCUUUGGGCAACUCUUUAACCUUGGAGUGUAUCAGGCUAAGAAUUUUCAAGUUUGUUAGUUGUCCAACAAGAGUUAUAUCAACCAACUCGCACUGAUCUAAACACAAUGUGUGGAGAUGCAUUAGGGAUUGAAGAGAUGGAGGUAGUGACUGAAUACGGAAUCUGGUUACAUCCAACACUUUGAGUUCUUUCAUUCCUUCAAAAAAUUUGCUUGGAAUUUCCUGGGAGUCGCCAACAUUCUUAUUCUCCAAGAUCAACAAUUUUAAUUCUGGGCAUUCCCAAGGUACUUCAGGAAGUAUGGGCAUUUUGCAAGAUCUUAAGGAGAUCAUAGUGUACUUUUUAAAUAAAUCCUCAGCGGGCCAUUCUUUCACCUCAUCUCCAUAUCCUUGAAAAGGCCUUUUUAUCAUCAGAUGCAAUCCAGAUAGCAACAUCUCGAACAAGCUCGUGCAUUCUAACAGUACGAUCGUCAUAACUAUCCAGCAAUAGGAAGAAGGAAGUUACAGUGGAAUAACGGAUUCAAUCUUAUAUCUGUUGAAGAAUCAAUGACACAGCCGAUAGCUUUUGAGUUAAAAAUUUAAUGGGUGUAAAAAUAAAUCCACAUAUUGAAUUGGGUUUAUGAGGGUAUAUUAGGUAUUAAAUUUGGGUUUAAAGAGAUACUAAUAGUUUAGUUAAAAAUCAAAUGGGUGAAAAAAGUAAAUUGGGUGUAUAAAUAGGUUAGAUGGGUUUAAAUAAAAUUUCCCAUAUUUUAAUGAACAGUACAGGGCCAUAUUUGCCUCCGUCUCCAACCGAGGGCCAGAGGGCCAGACGGCUCGUUUUAGCCCUGUCAAAAAAAACCGUCUCCAACCGAGGAUCAUAGGGCCAAACAUAAUUUAUUAUUUAAAAACUACAACUUAAUUUUAUUUAAAAAUCAUGUUGGUUAGUGUUGUAUAAUUUUUAUGUCGGUUAAUGUUAUUUAAUGUUGUUUCAUAUUGUUUAAUGUUGUUUCAUGUUACUUAAUUUAAUUUAAUGUUGUAUAAUGGCUUAGGAAGUUAUAGGAAAAAAUUAGAAUUUAAAAAAAAUAUGAAACAAAUUUUGUGAAAUAGAAGUUAUAGGAAAAAAUGGAAUUUAAAAAAAAAAUAUGAAACAAAUUUUGUAAAAUAGAAGUUAUAUGAAAAAAAUAUGAACCAAAUUUUGUAAAAUAUAAGUUAUAGGAAAAAAAUAGAAUUAAAAAAAAAUUGAAACAAAUUUUGUAAAAUAAAAGUUAUAGGAAGUUAUAGAAAAAAAAAGAAAAAAAAAAAAGGUUUAAAUUCAUAAAAAAAAAAAAAAAGGAUUUACAACGGGUAGUGGCGCUAGCCGUUGGAAGUUUGAAUUCAAAAUGUUAUUUCUGUCGGUUGUAACCGACAGAAAUAAGAAACAUUAAAAAAAAAAUAGCCAGCCCGGGGCUGGCUAGCUGGCCGAAAGCAGCCAGCCCUCCAGCCCUCCAGCCCUCUUCGAUCUCGUGGGGCCCUCCCAGAUUCUCGAGCCCUCUGGCCUAGCCCUCGGUUGAAGACGGUUUUAGGGCUAUUUUCGGCCCUCUGGCCCUCUGGACCCUUCGGUUGGAGAUGACCUAAAGUAUUUUAGAAGCUGUGGGCUCCUUUUUAAGAGAUAAUCAUGGUUUUUCCUUUUUCAUUCAAAAUAUUUAUCCAGUCAUUUAAAAAAAAAUUCGUACAAAAGAUUCUUUUUCUCCUAAAAUUCAAAUAUAAUCUUAUAAUCAAGAUAACGAAAAUGGUGGAUGUUUAUAUUUUUUAAAUUAUUAUGCAUACAUUUUAUUGAGAGAAUUAUUUGUAUACAUUAUUGAUAUGUUUACGAUUAGAAUUCCUAGAUUUCUGAUUAUAUUCAAUAUGAAUCACAGAUACGUUUAUUAUUAAUUUUCAUACUAUGAUUUUAUUUCAUAUUAUGGAUUGGUACGCUUGUUUUUAGUUUUUGGUAUAUUAAUUUUUGUACAUAUUGUUGAUUAGUACGUUUAACUAGAUACGUUUGAUUUUAGUUUUAGGUACAUUUAGUUUUUUUUUUUUGAACAUAUUAUUAAUUGAUAACUUUUUUAAACACAUUCAAUAUUAUCUACACUAAAAGAUGGGGGAGUGUUAGGCCUUAUAUAGAGUUAGCCAUAAUAAUUUUGUUCGAAUUUGCUUUUAGCAAGGCUUGAAUCUAAGACCUUACUUACAAGUGAGACGAAAUAACACUAAACAGUAGUAUUAAGUGGCAUCAUUAAUUGUUUGAUAACUUAAUAAUUUAAUUUGGAUUAAUACUAAUAAUAAUUUUGGUAUAAAUAAGACUAGAUUUAGGAGCUUUGGAUAUUAUUUUUGUAUCUUAGAAAGAAGACAGUUUUAAAAUGUGGCACAAAAAUUGUAGAAAGUACUUUAGUAAAAAGUUUAGAAGCUAGGGAUGUGUUUGGUCUAACAAAUUUAAAAAUUAAGCACCUAAAUCAAAAUUCCCUUUUUAUAAAUCAUAUGAUGUGAUUUUUUAUGAUUAAAUUUUUACUGGUGACACAUCUCAUGACUUACAAAUUUGACAUAAAAAAAUAAUGUUACUAAAAUGAAAUUUAAUAAUGUUACUAAAAUGAAAAUUUUGGCAUUGAAAGUUACAUAUACAUUACUCCAAGUCCAAGCAUCGAAAAAAUAAGGUUAUUUGUGGUUUAACUGAUAUUGGGCAUCUCUCUCCUAUAUAUCGCAAAUUGAUUUUAGGUUGAAAUCUGUGUAUCAAAUUGAUAUAUACUAGUUUAGUCGACUUGUAUAUGUAUAUAAUUGCACCAAUGAGAAACAUCAUAUUGUGCAGAAGUGCUAAAUGUGAAACCAAUAAAUUAAUACGGAAAAAGAGGACAAAAACGAACAAUUCAAAAUGACAUGAAGAUUUGUACUUGUUCGGCUUAAGCCUAUAUCCAGUCGGAGAAGGAGAGAAAACUUCACUAUUAAUCAAAAUGAAGAUUACAAAUAUAGUUUUAGCUCUCAAAUUCCAAAUCCCACAUACACCUAAUAACUUUCACUCAAACAAAAAACAAUUGGAGAAUAAGAAAGUACAUACCAAAUCUUUUCUCCUAAAAGCCACAAAAUACCACCAAUAUCUUUGAAUGAGUAAUUGUCCAAAACCACAAGAACAACAGCUUUCUUUCUCCUCUAAAGGUGUCGGCUGGACUCAAUCUCCCUCAACAACCGAAACAACAAGGGAACUUUAACGAAAAGCACCCGGUACUGUUCAUUUUAACGAAAAACCACAUUUUUACACUAAAAAAUCAAUCUUGGUACUAUUCAUUUUACCCUUUAUUUUGUUCUUAUCAUUAAAACUCAAAGUUUUCAAGUCAUUUUCAUUAGUUUUCCUAAACAAAAUAAAGCAUCACAUGCCUUAUAUACUAGCUGCUGCAAAUACCCAAGCCACUCACGUGGCAAGCACAUGGUCCAAACAAAAGGAACUAAACAGAUGGGCCGAUCGGAAUAGAGCCACAAAUUCAAUUCAACAGACUAUAGUGUCUUUCUUCCAAAUCUUCCCUGGUUCUAUUUUUUUUUCACAAAUCCUAGACCAUAAUUUCUUAAACCUUUAUUGGAAGUCUAAGAAGUCGGGCUAUAUUAUCACCCUCCAUGUCGUACAUGUUUACUAAUUGAGUGAAGGUGAUAGCUUCUAGUAAUCCUUCAUUGAGUUAAUGCUGACUAAUUGAAUUUUCAGGCAUGAAGCAAAGCUUAUUAGGAGAAUUGUUGAGAAGAAUAUUAGGGAAUUGCUUCCUAGCACAAAUGAAUUGCACGUGGCCAAAUACCCGGUUGGAAUCGACUCUCGUGUUCAACCGAUUAUCAAAGAUCUUUCAAGUGGUGGAUUAGAUGACGUUAAAAUGGUUGGAAUUUGGGGGAUGGGUGGAUUGGGCAAAACAACUGUUGCCAAAGCCAUUUAUAACAAAAUUCAUCAUAGCUUCCAAUUCAAAUUCUUCCUUGAAGAUGUUUGCCACCAUGGUACAAGCCAACAUGGUCUGCUCUGUUUGCAACAAAAAUUUAUUUCUGACAUCUUACAACAUGCCAACCCUCAAAUUAUUAGUAGCGUUGCUGCAGGGAUCACUGUUAUAAGACAACACCUCCAACGUAGAAGGGUACUUGUCAUUGUUGACAAUGUAGAUAAAGUGGAGCAACUAAAUGCAAUAGCUGGAAAUCGUGAAUGGUUUGGUCCAGGAAGUAUACUUAUCAUAACAACAAGAGAUGAGCAUAUACUAAAUCAACUGAGAGUGAAAAUGAGAUAUCCAGCUUGGGGAAUGAAUGAAGAAAAAGCUCUUGAGCUUUUCAGUUGGCAUACAUUUGAAGAAGAAGCUCCUGAUGAAGAAUAUCUUGAAUUGUCAAAGAAGGUAGUUUCUUAUUGUGGGGGUCUGCCGUUAGCACUCCAAGUUUUAGGCUCUUCUCUUAUUGGCAGACCAAUAAUAGAGUGGGAAAGCUAUCUGGAGAAAUUGGAAAGAAUACCUGAAGAAGACAUUAUUAAAAAACUAAGAAUAAGCUUUGAUGGGCUAGGUGAUAUUGAGAAGGCUAUAUUCCUUGAUAUAUGUUUCUUUCUUGAAAUCGGCCUGGGUUAUGUGAACAAGGAUUAUGUCACAAAAAUAUUAGAUGGAUGUCGGUUAUCUCCAAUAAUAGGAAUCAGUGUUCUCCGUGAACGAUGCCUUAUAACUGUUGAAUGAGAUAUGCUGAAGAUGCAUGAUUUGAUUCGAGAAAUGGGCAAGACAAUCAUUUCUGAAAAAUCUCCUACUGAACCUGGAAGAUGGAGUAGACUGUGGAACCCUGAAGAUGUAAUAGACGUGUUGUCAAAUAAAUCUGUAAGUAGUUUCUCAAUAAAGUUUAAUAUUAGUGCUCGCUAAAUCAUAUCCUAAUGCAACUGCUUACAUUUUAUAAUAUUUAGAAAUAUAUUUACAAGUACAAUAAACCUUCACGUGGAAAUAGAAGCAAUUAAAUCGAUUUCCAACCGAUUAUAUGACAAUUGUUUGUAAGUAAAUCAUUUUUUAGACCCAAAUUACCCUUUUAUUAUUCAUCAUAUGUCCUUUUGUUUACCUAACAGGGAACUGAAGAAAUUGAAGCACUUUCUCUAGAUUUGCCAAGCUCUAAAAAAAAGGCUAGGUUCAGGACAAAAGCAUUUGUCAAUAUGAAAAAACUGAGAUUGCUAAGGCUCAACUAUGUAAAGCUCACAGGAAGCUUCAAACAUUUUCCGAAAGAGUUGAGAUGGUUGUGCUGGCAGGGAUUCCCUUUCAAGGACAUUCCCAAGCACCUUUUUAAUCAGCCUAAACUUGUUGCUCUUGACCUGCAGUUCAGCAAACUCAGAAAAUGGACGAAUUCCAAGGUACAAUCACCCCUAGCAGGUUAUAAUUAAUUCCCACUCUGAUUUUAUUUUUAAGCCAUAUUCUUCUUGGAUUUUGAAUGAUAUUUUCUUUUGGGUUUCUGCAGC